Molecule: long non-coding RNA, 50737 nt
Organism: Columba livia (rock pigeon)
Lineage: Eukaryota; Metazoa; Chordata; Aves; Columbiformes; Columbidae
Exons: 2
Source: RefSeq, a predicted model, not a curated record
AAACAACAGAAACCACAGGCAUUGUUUAGGCGGUUCUUUGAUGUAGUUCACCCGUGAAUAUAAACUCUGUGAGCCUUGUGGGAUGGUUUUGGGCUAAAAGGGGCUUGAGACUGGUUUGUUGGGUGCCUUAUAAAAACACUUCACAGACGUUUCCCUUCCCAUCCUUUCUUUAUUAAUGUGUGUGCCCUGCAGAAAAGGUGCUUGUACUCUUGGCUCCCAAGAUUAAGCCCCUUUUACUGCAUGAAUAACAAUUGGUAUCCACGAUUUGUACAUACUUUGAGCACCUUAAAGGAGAUAAGUCCAGGUCCAGGCCCUGUUUGACCUGUAUUACACAUUCGCAUCUUGGUUUUUGCUGGCCUUGUCAGGAAUGAUGUGUUGCUGGUGUUGGAGUCAGGAGUGGGACUGUGGUGGCAACGCUGGGUCGGUGGCGAGGAAGGACAAGGGGCAAUUUGGCACCUGGGCUGUUUGUGUGUUUGGGAGUGCGUGGGGAGGACUAGUCUGUGAUGCUUGGGAAUAAAUUUAGCCUGAUACUUAAGUACCAGCUCCCAGGAAAUUGCCAUCAGAGUAAUUAGCGUGCACUGACUUAUUUGUACAGUGAUAACAGCAGGAAAGUAUUGAAGCAGGAAAAACAAACACAUUAUUCAUCUGAACCUUCAAUCCACAGCCUUUACCUGACAGUUCGCUAUUUGCGAUACGCAGAUCUAUUUUUAGGCUUCCAAGUCAGGUGGGCUCCUUUUUCUUUGUUUGUUUUGUGUUUUGUUUUUUUGUUUCUUUUUUUUUUAAUUUUGCUGACAUAAAUUGGAAAAUGAAUCUGUGCCUAGAGAUAAUAAACAAAUGCAUUUUUAAAAUAAAUCUUUUGAAUGCCAAAGAGUGUUUUCUGUGGAAGUGCUGAAGCGUUGGCACAAGGCUCUUGAAACAUGUGCCCUUGCAAGUGGGAUGAAGAUGCUGCACACGGCAGCCGGGGUUGGCAGGGGUUGCUCUCUGUGGAUGCAGCUCUGGAUAUUGGAGUGAAAUCCCUGUUUCUAUCAGAAGUAUUUGGUGUGACCAUGAGCAUCUUCUUUAGUCCAGGUUUCUCUGCUUAGUGGCAAGCGUUGCUUAGCCAGCCAGAUGAGAAUUGCCCUUCAAGAUGUGAGCAUUGAGGAGAAGGUUUAGUAACUCGGAAAGUAAAUUAUUAAUGAGAGGCUGAGGGAGAAGAAUGACACAGGGUCACAGGAGUUUGUGGUCAUGAGGCAUCCAAGGAGGAUGUUUGGGGAAAGGCGUCCUUGUGUGUGUGAGUACUCGGAAGAGCUGGUAGAGAGCAGGAGACGUUUGGAAACAGAAAAAAAGAGUGGGUGCGGAGAAAUAUGUGGAUUCACCUUGGAAUGGAAAAAAUCGGGAUGGAAGCAUUUGCACUGCCCUUCCUUUCCCUUCCUUCCGUCUCCUUCUUAGGGCAGUGUCACCCCCAGCCACCCAAAGCAGCCAACACCCUGAUUCCCUGCCAGGCGCUUGUGCUAAAUCCUUUGAAAACUACUCUUCUCCUUUGGCAAUUAGAAAUAAAUAAAAAGGGUUAGAGCAAAAGACAGACUGUCUGCAGAGGAAGAGAGCUGAGGAGCCCCAGGGUUUCUCCUGGAGAUGGGUUUUGUGAACAGAUGAGGAAGUCACCAGGCAAAGCACCUUCCACAGCCAGCAGCUACAUCACAGGCACCCCUAGUCGAAAAUGCAGUACAGAUAAAUCAGAGUUAAAGCGCCUUUUUUAAAUACCAAAGACUUCUAAGUAUUCAAGCCAGCCAUCAAAAAGGUGAGUUAGCAUCUCUAUCUUGAGAUGUUUGCAUGGAGCCUGCAUGCCUCCCUGGAAGGUGGGGCAAACACCAGCAAUACAGCCCAAACCAAAGGCAAAUGAGUGAAACUUGUGACCUCCCUUAAGCAAGAUUCAGCCUGGGUGACCCAGUGGUUCUAAAUGUCUUAGGAAGUGAUUCAGUGCUUUGCAGCCCCAAAAGUUCAUCCCCAUCCCUAAGCUCCCGCUGUAUUUUCCAGCCACCAUGUGCAAAUCCAGGGCUGGAAAAGGCUGGAUUUUCACUGCAGCCUCCAGGUUUCUUAGGGAGUAAGAGCAGCUCCUUGAUUUUUAUGCUAUACAUUAAUUCACAGUGGGGCUGCACAUUUUAAGCUCUGAGGAAAGAAGAGACAGAUGAGGGCAGGUAUUGCAAAUGCACAACCAUAAACCAACACCAUGGUGAUGAAAACUUCAUAAAACGAGCCAGGAGCUGGGAUUGGCUUUUUGUUUGCAGGAAGGACUAGACCAGGGCAUUUGCAUCCUUAGGGUUUUUCAGCUGAGGGACCAUGUCCUGGGAGAGGCUUUUGAGGCUUAGAGGAACCCAGCAGAUGUGAAAAUCCUGGAGUUGAGAAGCACAAAGGAGACCUGGAAGCCUAAACAUGAUUAACAUCAGUGGGCGUUUCAGUGCGGCAGAGCUGGGACCUUCAUUCAUUUAGCUCUAAGUGCCUUUAGUCCAUAGGCAUGAACCUUCUUAUGCCUGUUCAGCCUGUGCCAGCAGAAAAAAUAUGGUGUGACAACAAUACAAGAAGCGCAAAAUCAUCGGCAUUUAAAAACAGAUUUAAAAAGUUUAUGUGCAUAAUAUGCAUAUCUGUGCAUACGUAAUGUUAUGUAUUUAAGACUACUUCUAUAUAUCUGUGACUUUUAAAGCUUUCUGUGGUUUAGAAACACCUCUCAACCUAUAAAAUUCAGAUAGUGUCUCCUCUGUUAAGGAAGGAAGGCAAAAUAUUGAUGUUUAUGAUUUCACGUGACUCCAGAAGCCACAGCUUUUGACAAGUGCACCAAAUCUUGAGAGACUGGGUGUCUUGAGAGACAGUGUGGGUCUGGAUGAAGUUGCAUGGUCUCGACCUUCUGUGUUACUUGCUGACCUUCAUAUUGAAGGAAAGAAACCCAAGACAAAACAGCCCUUUCCAGCAGCAGAGCCAGUGAAGCUGUGUGUUACGGGUUGUGCUCACAAGUUUUUAAGUAUAGCUGUGUCCUCGCUUCAGGGAGAACAGUUGUGGGAGGGAUCAGGUAAACGCCGUCAUCUGCGGAUCUCAGACUGGCCUCUCGCUAGCCUUAUCAUAACCUUGAUGGGGGUUGUGGUGGCUUCCCUUUUGAUGAUGGUGAUGAUGUAUCAUUAUUGCUGCUGCUGGAGACAGUUUUGGCAGGCCUUCAUUCCUGAUAUAGGUUAAUUAGCCUCCCACUUCCACCUUUUCUUCCCUGCCCUCUUCCUAAGCCAUUAAGACAAAGUGUGGUCAGAAGUAAUUCAUAUUAAAAUAUUUAGAGCCUUUUAAUGGCAGAUGCUGGAGAAACAAUUCUGUAAUCCUGUAGGCUUCACAGCAUUUGAGCUGAGUUUCUUCAAAACACCUGUAUUAAUAUAGCUUGGAGGAACAUGGAUCAGCAGAAAUUAAUAGGUUUUCUUUAACAGCUGCUUUUACAAAUGCACCCAGCUCUGAUCCAUAUCUCAGUCAUCCCAGCACUGCUCCUCCAACUUGCUUUUCUGACCUCUGCUUUAGGGACAUCAAAGACGACAAUUUGGGGAUCCCCAAACUAUCCCCUUGCUAUCUCUUCAGCUUCAGGGAGCCACAGAUUUGCUGAGAAGAUGUGGAUCUGCUAACCAGUUUUUGAGCGAUGGGCAGUCUGCUCUAUUGCCUGCACUCUUCUAUAUGAUCCUCCUGAACAUCGUCUCUAGCCUGGAGGUAUGAUUUGAUAUUUAUCCUUGUGGCCGCUGUGUGAGAGAGCAGGCCAUUAGCAGAUGGGCACUGAGGCACAGGCUAAUUGAAUUGCUCCUGACAUAAGCUGGACCACAGGGAAGGAGAGAAAAAAGGCUCCUGGUCCUGUUGGUCUUACAUGAGGUUUCAGUCCCAGUCUGCAGGCAUCGUAGCUCCGGGCUAAAUCACAACCCUGUCUGGGAAAACACAUUAGCUGCAUCCAAAGCAGAGGAGCCCAGCAGCCCUCAGGUAGCUUGUUGGAAAAAAACUACCAGUAACGUGUGAACUCUCAAAAAGGAGGAAUGAAAGAACGCUGUCAAAACACAGCUGGUUUUCACUGGCUUUAACUGCUGUUUUAACAAGCUCAGCAAGUCACCAUGCUCCAAUAAAUGACUGUCCUCUUGCUUGCUGCAGUGUGACACCCGUGAAGGCGUCCCUGGCUUGUCCCCACCAGCCGGGAUGGCAGGACCAUGUUCCAAGGUGGGGAUUUCUGAUAUAAGCAUCUGGAGAAAGCAAUUCCUUUCUCAAUUUUACUUCCAUUUCUGCAUCUGCUGGUAAAUCUGGCUGCCAGACAUCUGUUGCCAGCUCUGCCAGAAAGCUACUUGAAGGGACAGCCCUCCAGAUGAUGGCUCAUAUUCACCUGUAGAUGUGCUUUUCUGGGAGUUUAAAAAAAACCCGAAACACAAGAAACAGGAAAGUUUUGUGUGUCUUUCGUACAAUCGUAGACCAGCCCAGGUUGGAAGAGACCUUGAAAGAUCAUCAGGUCCAACCUCUUGUGGGAAAGGGAGACUAGAUGAGAUUAUCUAGCACCCUGUCCACUCACAUCUUGAAAAUCUCCAGUGGUGGGGACUACACCAUAUCCUUGGGAAAGGUUGUUCCACUGAAUGAUUGUUCUCACUGUAAAAUAUUUCCUCUUAUAUCCUGCUUUGUUUCUGCCCAUCAGUGUAAUUUUUUUACUUGUUUUUGUCUGGCAGUGACUUUUCUCAAUUCCUUUGCUGGAAAAAAAAGCAACGUGGAUUUCUUAGUUCAACAGCAUCUCACUGUGCUGCUCCUGGUGGGGAUCUGGCACCUGUGCUGCUCUUCAGCAAAAUCCACGUCUUGGUGCUCAUGGGGUGCAGAGGACCUGCAGGCUGGGCAGAGAUCCCUGGGGCUGGAGGUGCCCAGCCACAGGUAAUUUGGCCGCCUCUUUGCUGUACUUCAUUCACCUGCAGGUUUUCAAGGUCACGGCACUUGUUUAGACCAACCUCUUAUUUAAGAGAUUCCUGGAAUUAGUUUCCUCUCUGGUUCAGCAGUUGUGGAUGGACCCUGAUGUACAUUUUUCGGGGGGCAAGAGAGGCGUGGUGGAAUCUCAUCUUAUUUUAAAAAUUGCCAGUGCUAGAUCACUGGCCAUGCCAGCUGGAGGACUUUUCCCUCUGUAAAUUACCUGCAGCGCUGAAAAACGGUAUCUUUGUUUCUAGUUUGGUUUCUGUUGAGCUUCAACUUUCAACCUUGUUAUGCCUGUGUCUGGUAGGCUGAAGAGCACUCUUCCUGACAGGUACUUACAGGCUGUGAGGUACCUUUUAACUUUCCCUUUGAUUGACUUCCUUGAGCUCCUUGGUACAAGCCUGGUUUUGUUCUUGUGGCUUUUCUCUGAACUCUCUCCAGCUUUUCCAGCAUUUUUCUUGAAGUGUGGGUACAAGUAUUAAACCUCACACUCCCAUCGACUGUGCCAACCCAAGGCCCAAAGAUAACAGGGCCUCUCUGCUGGUACGUGACAUCCCUCAUUUGUGCAUCCAAGCGGUGUGGACCUGCCUUGCAAGCUCACAUUGGGCUAAUUAUGCCCCUUACCUCAGCCAGUCCUGUAGGUCUUGUAUGUUUGAAAAGUUUCCAUGUAGCCAUUUCUUUAAUACGCCAAGCAUCUCAUUAGUCUUUUUGAUGUUGUGGGGUUUUUUUUCUUGGUUUGCAUUCUGAAAGGAGUUUUAGUCCAACCUUUCUCACUGUACCAGCCACAUGUCAAAAAUCUUCAUACAGCUGAGAUCUGCUUAGGAGUGUAUUUUACAGAGCUGGGCGAAGUGAAGUGGUUCACAAAAGGAAAAGAAGAGUGAGGUGUAUCUCCAUUGUGUGGUGGGACAGGACAGACUGUGUGCCACUGUGCUUCAGAGUCCUGCAAUUUUUUUUGACCUCUUCAGCUCUUGAUGGAUCACUUUCUGCCAUUGAGAUUAACUGUGGAGAUGGUGAACUUGCAAGCCCUCUGAAGCCAAACCUGUUGUUGCUGGCUACAGAGUGUAGCACCAAGCUCCUUGCUUGGGAGUCAUGGGUUGACUGCCCCCAUUGAGGGUUUGGAUCAGUGCUAGCAUAUUUCUAGAUGUUAGACAUGGAGGGCUGACUGUAUUUCCAAUUGGGGCGCUUUUAGUAUCAGUGUUAUGUUGUUUCUUAUGUAUAAUGACUCAAAGGAAACAGAGGUGUUGAUCUGAUGAGGAACCUAGAAAGCCUUUUGGUAAUAACAUCCAGAUGUUUCCUUAGCACAUCUGCUUAAGCCAGUGUUGAAGUCAGUGCCUUCAGCAGCCCUGCUGAUGCAUUUUGCUGCCUGCUGCUCUGUGUGAUGCUAAUUUAUUAGUAAUGCAGGAAUGGAGGAGGGGAAGAUUUAAAUGGCAGCAGAAGCAGGGAGAAGCAGCUGCUGAGGAAGCGUGGGAGAGGAACGCAAUCCAGAUCAUAACCCAAAUUGUUCUUGCUUUUACUGCUUGGGUAGGAUGUUUGGAGGUAGUCUUGCAUGUAAUUGUCCCUUGUUGUAAAUACUGUACCCCGUUUUUGCCAAGUUACAGGUUACUGUGUCCCUGUGCAGCUCAGCCAUGUGGACAAGACAUUUGUCCGUCUGAGCAUUGAGUUCAGCCAAGAACAGGGCAAGCUCUGCUUGCGCAGCAGCCAAUAUGUGAAAAGAUGUUCCUGCCUGUCCCCUUAUUCGUGAGAAGCUGUUUCGUUCUGUGGUUCCGCCUGUGUUUAGCACUUCAACACCGCCUUGCUAAUCCCCGUGCCAGGAUUGUCAGCAUGCAGAGUUCCUCCCGGGGAGGGUCAGCUUCGGGACAGCUCAGCCACUUCAUGACAGGGCUUUGGGUGGCCGGGAUGCUACUGGAACCUGUGCUUGUAAUGUCACUGUGUCAGCGUCGUGCCCUGCCCAGGAGAGUAUCGCUGGCAGCCUGAGGGCAGCGCUCUGUAAUUCCAGAUGCCCUGAGUCGUGCAGUCUCUUUAUAGGCUGUACAUUGCAAAUCCUCGAUUUGUGGUCACAGCCCUUCUGAUACGACCCAGCCCUAGUGUGUGCUGAAGCUCCUCAGGCCACACUGCUUUUCCUCUGUCUUCCUCAAUGACUUCUGCUUGUGGCUGAUUUUCAACAUCACAGAGAGCAUGUCUUCAGAGCAGACCAGUUUGUAGAGCUCAUCGGAAAGCGCUGACCUGGACACCCGGUCUUGAAAGUGCUUGGCAACCACAAGUUUUCUGAAUAAAAAAGGAAUGUCUCCUCACCCAAAAUUAGGGCUAGUGCAUCACCUCCUUCCAGGGGUAGUGAGGUGGCGUUGGAGAUUGUCCAGGUUAAAAUAGGAGAGAAGGUGGAAGCGUGUGGUUGGGGUGUGGCAAAGUAAGAGUGGGAAGGAGACACUGAUGUGGCAGGUGUGUGUGACAUGGAUGGCUCAAAGGCAUCUUAUUUGCGUCUCUUCCUCUCUGAUGCAUGUCACAGCAUCAUGGCCUGGCCAAGGAUGGGCCAUCAGGUGUGUUUGGUUACCUGGCAGGGAGCAGGCUUGGUCCAGUGAUUCACAAGAUGGAGAUGGACACGAUGAAUAGGGUUGUACAACACAAGAGGAGCCCACAGCAGCUUGGGGUGUAUGCUGGGGGGAGCCUUUAGAGAGCCAGGCCCCCAAAACAGUGCAACACAUCUUGGAGCAAGAGAGACAGUGUGGCAUGUAAAUGCUUGACAUCUAAAUACAGAAAGCAGCAAGAGGUGGUCAAAGAGACCAAGGAUGGUAUUGCCAUCCUUGUGGGUUAGGCCCUGUUGGAAGUUCCUGUCUUCCCAUCUGUCCUUCCCGUGCUCCCAGGGAGUGUCAGAGACAUUUGUUCCACCACACCAGAUACCACCGUCUUUCCUUUGGCAAUGAGGUGAUCCACCUCUCUUAGCUUCCCUGGCCCACCCCUCCAAGCUUUCCCAGCAAAAAUGUUUGAGCCUUGGUGGCUUUUGUACCUCCGGUGCCAUAUUCUACACCCAAGGGAGGCAUUUCUUUGGCAGUAUAGACCAGCCCUCCCGCUUCUUCUGCCAGCCUGUGGGUGUCCAUAACUAAGAACAUUAAAUCUAUGUAAGACCAAACAACUCAAAAUCAGGUCUCCAACAGUGGUCAUAAGCAGAUACUUAGAGAAAAGUAAAGGCAGAACAAGCACAUGUGAUACAUCCCUCCGCCAGCACUCUACUGUUUUCAGCUCGGGAGUAUUUGGUGUACUCGGCAAUCCUCUGCAGGUUUACAUGUGAUGUAUUUGUCUAGUUUCCUUUAAAAUGUAUACAAAAUGGAGUAUCCACAGUAUUCUUUGGAAAGCAGUCCCACAGAUCUGCUGCUACUCAUUGCAUGAAGCAGCACCUCCUUUUGCUUCUUUCAAGCCCAUCUCUUGCUUUGUUUGAUGCAUCUUCGUUCUCAUACUAGAAGGAAGAGUUCCCUACCCAUUCAUUUCUGAAUACAUAGGCAAGUCAUACCCCCGCCUCCCUUAAGUCAUCUCUUUGCCUGGUUUAAGAGCCCUGCAAGCAGAAAUCAGAAUUGCAGCUGGAGAAAUACUUGUCCCUCACCUUGCUUUUGGCAUUUUUGUUUUGAGGUGUUUCCUUCAGUUGCUUCUUGAAGGCACUUGGUGAGCAUCUGCUGGUAUCACUGUGUGAGUGCAGAGACAGGGUUGCUGGCAGCGUGUCUGGUACCUGUCUCAGGAGCUCCCAUCCAUGAUUAGGGGCACCAGGCAAGGUGGUGAUGAAUUGGGGCAUUCCUGCUUUGUUUGGUUUCUGCUGGGGGAAUACCAGCUCUGCUGUACCAUUGUGGCGGGGACUGUUUCAAGUCAUGUCUGUCACUUCUACAUGCAGAACCCAACUGUGUAGUGCUGCUCUUCACCCUUUCCCAUUCAUAAAAAAGAUCUCUUCUUCUGUGAGGCUAAAUUAUGAGUUACUCCCAGCUAUGUCCUAGACCUGAUUUCUGUGCCUCCUACCGUGGCAGUCCUCCUUGGUUGCUGGGUUGGAGCUUAUUUGUGGUCUCUUCCUAAUGAGAUGGGGCUGCCAGUUCCUUCCUCUGUGGAUCUUUCCAUCCUAAGAGGCCUUGUUGACCUCUCCAUCACCUUGAUUGUCCAUCUCUUCCAGAGAUUCCCUGAAAGCAGAUGAAGGUGCGUAGUUUCUUUCUCAGAACAUUGCACUGGGCUGUUCAUGCCUGGCUGGUGUCUGCAGCAGAAGCUCCUGGAGAUUCCGAAAAUCUUCAAUUCCACAUAAAGUAUCUAGAUGCUGUGUUUCUGUUUCUGUCCAUACACAAACAGCUCCUGUUUUUGACAAAACUUAGAAUUUAAUCUAGAUCUGAUUUUUGGAGAUUUUGGGAGUUUUUCCUGCCUCCUUGUUGGACCAGUAUUUUAUACCUAGUGGAGCAAUGUCUGCAUUAGUAUUGAUCAACAAGCAAUGCAGUCGUUUUACUAGUCUAUAUGAAUCUGUAGUGGAGUGCAGAAAUUCUUUUAGAAUGGAUUUACAUAUAAAGGUAACUUUAUUGCAUUGCAUAUUAAAACCCAUUUCAUUUGAUUUAAGUAGCUUGAUGUUUCCUUUGUUGGCAUUUGAGCUGACUGGGAUUUUUUCACUAAUGUGCCACUAUGUUGAAGUUGUGAAUGCAUCCUCGGGAGAGUCGAGUUCAAUAAAUACCCCUUUUUAGGAAAAGUAUAAUAACAUAUUUGAGAGGAUUGGCUAGUGACUGUACAUCUAAAUUUUCCAACUGUGUUUGUAUUGUGGUUUGUAUUGUAAAUGGCUCUUCGUUUCUAAUGCAAGUUACAAUGAAAAGUAUAAAAGUUUAUGACACCUAAGGCAAAAUUUCCAACUAUUGAAACAAAGUGCUUCAAAUCAAAAUGAAUAUGAAUUCAGCAACCUUCAAAAUGUCCUCCAAGGAUGAUAGAAUUGGAUUUUUUUCACCUUUCUCUGACACCCCUUGUUCAUCUCUGUUUGGGUGGAAUUUGUGUUGGCUGAAUUUUUGAGCAAGAACAAGAUGUUCCUCUGUUUGUACUGCAAGGUCAGGGUAUCCCUUGAAGGGUGAACCAGACAUUACUCUCCCAUGGGGAUAAAAUUUUCAGCUCUUAAUACUAACAGAAAUCAUGUAUAAAACCUAAAAGUUUGUCAAUCUGUCCUGAUCCAGAUAUUAAAAUUGUGUUUUCUUUGUAGGUGCUGAAGCUCCAUAAGCUGCGAUUUGGGCUUGGAUUACAAAAUUUCGAAAGACUUGCUGAUCCCCUCUCAACUUCAGAGACAGAGAAGCUUAAGCUUAUAUCUCCAGUAUCACACAAGGAGAAAGAAGGGAGUUGGCUUCACAUGAGUAACUAAAAUCAAUGUUGUGUUGCUGUUGGGAGCGCUCAGAAGGAGAAAAGCCUGGAGUGUAGCUCUCGUUUUAGAGAGAUGGAUUUUGCCCGGGAGGAGGGUGCGCAAGGGAAGGUCCAGGAGGAUGAAGCAGAGGUGAUGUUACAAGCCACUUCCUGACCUCUACAGCGGGACUGAAACUUCACCACAGGGUAAGAAAACACCCCAAAACAGCCAAACAUUUUCCCUUCUUCCCACGUUAGUCCAGUAUCCAUCAGACAAGAGGUGGGAUGAGUCCAGGCAUUAGUUUUCAAUUGAGUGGAUUCUCCUAAUGCCCUCAACCUCCCUCCUGUUCCUGUGCCCACUUCCCGCAUCCUGUGUCACCAAUGCCUGUGUCUGCAGGGGACAGGAGACACCUGAGCAGGCUUCAUGUAAAAAUCAUCUGCAAACCUCUACAGUCUUACUCGUCCGCAUAUCUAAGACUUAAUUUUUUAAGCAUCCCUGCUCACACACCCGCAUUAAAUAUAUUGCUUCUGGAAGUAGCUUUGUGCCUUUAUGCCAGAGGAACUUGCUGCUUUAUUUUUGGAAGUGAGGAUGACAAGUCCCUCACACUUAUCUGCACUGUUUGUGGCUCCAAAGCACGGCAGGGAUGUAUUUUCCAAACUGAUGAGAUACAAAGAGAGUUGAAAUAAAUGGGUUUAUCACAUUGCCUCAUCCAAAGCCACAAGAGGAGAAAGGCAGGAGCUGGAAAAAGUAGAGCAAAAUUGCCUGGUUUCAAUUUACCACCUUUGGAGAAUUUAAAAACGUUGGUUGCAGAAAAGAAAGUUGAAGCUUGAUUUAUUUUUUUCACUUCCCUCAUGCUGCAAAUAUUUUUCCUCAUAAACAUGCGUGGCUUCUCCCUUGUCCUGAGCUCAGGAGUGCUGGAAGCAUUUCCUGGAAGGGGAAGGCUGGCUGGGAUGGCAGAGGGCAUCUGGGGCUUGGUCUGUUCUAGAGAUACAGCUCCAGGGGCAUGAGGGACACGGGGCUUUUCUCUGCUGCACUUUGCGUGGUCCGACUGGCUGGUGUGAAGGCUCUGUGGUAGUAAAGAUGGAAAGGGUUCACCAGACUCUUCCUCUGAGGUUACUGUGUGUGAUGUGUUUUAGGACAAGAGGAAAUGGCCUCAGGGGAGGUUUAGAUUGAAUAUUAGGAAAAAUUUAUUCCUGGAAAGGGUUGUCAGGCAUUGGAACAGGCUGCCCAGGGAAGUGGUGGAGUCGCCAUCCCUGGAGGUGUUUAAAAGGUGUUUAGAUGAGGUUUCUAGGGACAUGGUUUAGUGCUAGAAUUAGGUUAGGUGAUGGUUGGACUCGAUGAUCCUGAGGGUCUCUUCCAACUGAAAUGAUUCUAUGAUUCUAUGUUGCCAUGAAGGCCAUGCUAGCGUGGGCAUGUAGACCCAUAUUGUGAUGUUAACGUUCCGUAAUAAAUUUGGCGGUGAUGAAAAAUGCUGGAUUGAAAUCCCUUGAGAUGCAAAUCCAUCUUUUUUCAGAUCAGAGGUUUCCCCACUCCCCCUCACCCCCAUGUCUCAGCACUGAGCUGGAAGGACCAUCUCUUAGUAUUAGUGAGAAGUUCUUAAUCUCUGUGACUCAUUCAGUCGCUGGUUUAACUGCUGAUGUUUCCAGUGAGAAUGGCAGUGACACGGGUGGAUCUGGUGAUGGGAAGAUACCACUGGUCAGGAAGCAACACUCAUUUCACAUCAGUGAAGAGACUAUCUGAGACCUGUGUGUAGCUACUACAUUUCUACAGUGGAUUUGAAUCAGAGAGAGGACAGACACUUUCAAAGUCUGGGUCUGCCCAGUUCCUUGGAAGCACCAAAUUGAAAUACUUGCACGUUAAACAUGAGAUACCAUUAUAAAGUGGAUGUUGGGAUGAUAAUCUUAAGUCUGAGAGUGAAGUUCCCCCAUUUAAAGGUGAUGGUUGGGAAGUACGUGAUACAUGUUGAACAGCAGCUAUGCUGAUGAAAAUGAGAAGUAGAAGUGGCUCUACAGAGCAAAGCCAUCUAGUUUGUUAUCUCCUUUGAUGAUAAGCAAGAGAGGGGAGAGUAUAAGAAAGCAAGCUCUCUGGGGAUGAACCUUCUCAGCAGAUCCUCCCAGCAGCCAGUUGUUAAACAUGCUGAGUGCUUCUUGGGAGUGUCCUUGAGUUGUCCCCAUGGAUUAGGUGCUCCUGCAGCAGCUCAGGUUAGGGAAUUCAUUACUCUCUAAGCGGCCCAAGCCAUGCAGUGUCUGGCCAGGUGUCAUGUUUAUACAGAUUAGCUCAGGUCACCUAAAUCAUAGGUGCCAGGUUGGACUUGGCAGGACAGCGUUGCAGCACCAUGUGCGCCAAUGGUGCUGCUGACCAUUAAUUUUAAACCAUGCUCUAACACUAGGGCUUAUCUCAGGAUACUGGAGUUCAGCUCUUGGUCCUGCAUAACUGUCCCUUAACCCUUCCACUUCAUCCCCUGGAUAUAUCCGUGGGUAUAAGUUUGCAUUUGAUGAAAGGAACAGACUUCAGAAAAUCCUGUCCAGCCCCGUCUUCAUUAGUCCUGUAGUACUGUUGUCUCCUCAGUGUCUUGAUGCUCGGAGGAGAGAGAUACAAGCCCUUGUAUCUCGCAGGAGCCUCUUCCAGGUCUGCAAAGAAGAAUGGAGUGUAAUUUGGCACUUAUUAUUUCAUUGCAUCAGCUUUUCUGAGUCUGGGAGUGCUCUUAGCACAAGCAAAUAAAUUACCCGUCUCAUUUUGCUGCGUGCUCUGCAGCCAGCCAUAUGUUUGAGCCUGAUAGAGAUUCUUAUCUCACGAGCUAAAAUUACUCAAUGGAGGAUGACAUUUCUUAUCAAGGGCUUUGCUGAAUCAGAGAGUGGCCCUGGCACCCAGCUUUGAGACACCGCUCCUCUUUGUCCAGCCUCCCAGCCCGGCGAUAAAUGAAUUUGUGUCUGUAGGUCAGCGUCACUUGCGUCAAGGUUUUGUUGCAGAUGGAGGCUCUGAGGGUUGUCCCUGUGCCCAGGAGGACAUGGGAUUGAGGAGGGGAAGCAAGGCUGUUCGUUUAACUGAAACUGCGUGGCCUACAGCUGUGCAAACACGUCUUUGCUUGGAAGGUCCUUGUGUGCACGGCUGAUAACUUCAGGCUUCGCAGCCAGCAGGAGCCAAGGACUCUCUUCUCCCACUGCACAUGAAGGCUUUGCUUAAAAUUAGGUGAUGUAACCACCCCCUUCUACCAGCUGCCCUAGCUUUUCUCCAGACUUACUUACAACUUACAUAAAGCUUAAUCUCUCCAUCCUCCUGCUUCUUUAAUGGAUGAGUUAUUUUGCCUCCUUUCUUUCCCUUUCUCUCUUGCAUGCUUUGGAGUUUAUCUGGUAGUUGCCGAUGGUUCAAGGUGUUCUCUGGGUGUUUAGCAGGUAGGAGAGAGCCAGGGAGAAACCACUGCUCUUCAUUAUGUCUUCUUCCAAUACGGCAUCUUCCCUUUGCCUUCUCUUUGCAGUGCAGAACCAACAGCAUGGGGUGUUCGGCUUCUGCAGUGUGUCUGGGCAAAGCUCUGAGCAAAGGGACCUGCUGAUGGAUUGUCCUUUCCUCUAGCUGGGCUCUGCCUGCGAAGGCAGGUUUGUCCCUAGGAGCCCUCCUGAGCAGAAAGCAAGACCACCAACCACCCAGGUGUGGUCCAGCUCUCUGUAAGAGAUUCCUGGAAAAGACAUCUCUGAAUUAGCACCUUUUUCUCCUCGCAGGAGGAUUGCUUUGCCAGGUAAAUCUCUCUUACAGUGUUGUACAAAGGGCCAGGCAGGGUCAUUGUCUCAGCUCAGAAUAAAUCUGGUAAAAUGCCGUCUUCCAUGCAUAGGGACUGGUAGAGAGCGUCUGUAUGUGCACUGUGGGUUUGUUCUGCUAAACAGUCACACAUGAGUUUUUCAGAUUUUCUGUGACUGUAACAAUUUACUUCACUCACCCCUUCUUUGCAAUUUUCUUCAAGCAGGCCUGUGACAGCCACUUAAUGCACAGCAGGAGGUCUGAUCCCAAGAAUCCAGCAAAAGCCGUACUUCAGAUUUCUCUGGAAAAUAUGACCAGCAGGAGCAGCUUACUCACCAUUAGAUAAGUAUUACAGAUGACUCAUGCUAGAGUAUCGAUAACUGCAUGACUGAGGUGAACAUAUUGUUUUAUAACAGCUGGAGCAUGAUGCCAAGAGCCACAAACCUUAAUUCACAGUAUCACAGUAUGUAUGUUUGGGAUUGGAAGGGACCUCAAAAGAUCAUCUAGUCCAAUCCCCCUGCUGGAGCAGGACCGCCUAGGUGAGGUCGCUCAGGAACAUGUCCAGGUGGGUUUUGAAUGUCUCCAGAGAAGGAGACUCCACAGCCCCCCUGGGCAGCCUGUUCCAGUGUCUGUCACCCUCACUGAGAAGAAGUUUCUUCUCAAAUUUAAGUGGAACCUCUUGUGUUCCAGCUUGAUCCCAUUACCCCUUGUCCUAUUAUUGCUUGCCACCAAGAAGAGCCUGGCUCCAUCCUCAUGGCACUCACCCUUUAUAUGUUUAUAAACAUUAAUAAGGUCAUAAACAUUAAUAAGGUCACCAUCCAUGCUUUUCCACAAAUGUGCUUUGGGUCUCUGGUACCUUUUUCCUCUUGGUUUGUUGAUCUAAAGGGUUCAGAGAGGAGUUUUUGCUCCCCUCAAUGGGGUACAGGGCAUGGGGCAGCUCAUGUCAUUUGGAGCCACACUUCAAGAUGUCACCUUUAAAUGAAAGCUAGCAUUGAAAAGCUAGAGCUUUGGAGCUGUUCUCCAGGACAUCAUGCAAUUUUUGUCUUUUGAAUAGAUGUCACCAGUGGCUUUCCUCGAUUCUUUGUGGUUUUUGUUUUUGUUUUCUUUCCAGAGCCAUUACUUCCCUUUUCCAGCAGGACAAUCCAGAAGGUGCAGAAACAGGUAAGGCAACUGCUGUUGCAGCAUGAUAAUUUUGGGUCAUUAAAGGUGAAAUAGUGGCUGAAGUAAAGUAAAAAACCCCAUUAACUCAAUGGUAGUGAGAGUUUUACCCAGUGUGCUCAGCCUCCUGAAAACACCUGGAAUAACUGUGUCUGGGGAUUAAUUUGCAGGCAACCCAGGAGAGUGUGCCCAGACCUCCCUCUGCUUCCAGAAACACCGGCUCUGCGAGAAAUAGGUGAUGAGAUUCAAAAAGUGAUGAGCAAGGGGGAGAAACGUGUCCUUGGGGGAGAUGCAGAAGGAGCUUUAGCUGUGAAGGUGGGAAUACGCUGGGGAUGACAGGAGCUGCAGAGGAGGUCUUAACCUGAGGAGGGUGGCUGGGGGCUGAGGUGGCUUCAGCUGGAGGUGGGUAGAUAGCUUGGAGGUAUGCAGAGCCAUACAGGAGUGAGGGAGAAUCGGAGUCAAAAGGAGAUGUUUUGGUGGGGAGCACUGCAGCGAGGGAUGUGCUAACGAUGGCAAGUGCGUGGCUCUGCUUGCUGCUCCUGUUUGUGGUGUCACCAGGCCCUGCUGAUAGCUCCUUGGACCACACACUUGAGCAUCCUCUCCUGCAGUUCACACCAUGCCUUGAACUGCUGAAGCCAUUUGAUUUCCAGUAAGAUACUGAACCAAAACGCCAGAUGGCCAUAGCCUGAGGAGCACAUCCCUUUCACCAGUGCCAGCCCGGGGCCGGAGCUUCCUCUGAGGCAGUGGCAGUGUGGUAGGUGCUGCACUCCGUUUCUCAGUGAACAUCAGCCAGAGUCCCAGUGCAUUAAUACAGAAGAGAAAUCUGGCUUGAGAAUCUGUGUUUGUGUCCAAUCUCGUGGUUUGUGUCUCUGCAUUUACUACGAGGCUUAUGAAGCGCUGGACCAGGUCCCCCAGAGAAGCUGUGGAUGUCUUCUCUCAGGAAGUGUUCAAGAUCUGGUUGGAUGGGACUCUGGGUAACCUGAUCUAGUGGCAGGUGUCCCUGCCGAUGCCAGUGGAAUUGGACUAGAUGAUCUUUCAAAGUCACUUCUGACCCAAACCAUUCUUUGAUUCUGUGAUAUUGGUGCUUUGCUACUCUUAUUCCAAGAACUGCUGAGGGAUCCACUUUGCAAGAUGUUUUGUACUGAGGUUUAUGUGGGAGCUUCUGGGCCUUGGGAUGGUGUAGCAUCAGCCACUGAAUGCGAGGACAGGGGCAUCAGGAAUUUUACUGGCGCGUUUUUCCACUUUGGGCAUGUCCUCUUACAAUGACAUGCCUUAAAAAAAAAAAAACCAAACCCGGUGAAUGCACUUAACCAUCACUCAGUGGAAAUACUUUUGGGUAGAGAAAUGAAAGCGCAAGCCCCUGCCCUUCUCAUCUUGCGUCCCUGGGGUCAGGACUGCAGCUCCCAGGCAGGAUCGGGUGCUUCCCCGUGGGUGGCCUCGGCCAUACGUAUUCAAAUCGAGCACCCAGGCGUGUCACCUCACUGCAGCGCGGGGCUGAGAGAUGCAUGGGGGCUUUCCAGCCCCAUGGGCCAUUAUUAGUAAGAGGGUUCAUGUGUGGUGUGUCUUGAUUCGAGCUGUGAGCUGCCAGCCGACUCUAAAAACUGCUGCUGAGCCUUGUAAAUAAUAUUGCAAAAAGUUUCCGAGAAGCAUAGUAACUUGCCUAAAUAUAUAUUUUUUAUGUCCGAAGAUGCUCAGUGUUGCGUUGGUGCUGAAGGUUUGCUGAGCCCCAUAAGGGGAAGUGUGCUCCGGCUCUCGUUUGGGAAGCUUGAGCAGGUAGCGGAUAAGGAGGUGAUUGCUGUGGUUUUGCUUCUCUCUCUGUUCGGAAAGGUGGAUUUUGAGGCAUGUUUGUGGGUUUGGCGUGUAGGUAGGGUGAUUUAGAGCAAUGUGAAUGACCUGCAUGGUAACUUUGAGAUCGUGCCAUCUGAGUGACUAGACUGGGGAUUACAGAUCCCAGGGCACCCAAUGUUCAAAUAGGUUUUUAAAUCGCACGGGUCAUUUUGAAGGAGAUAAUUAAGUUCUUGAGUUACUCAGUAAUGCCUACAAAUGUUCCUGCAAAUGGCUCAUGAAGCACUUGCAGUCUCUGACUUCUGCCAGAGGUAAAUGCACUAUUAGGAGCAAAUUAGCUGCCCAUGUGACAUUUUCUGUCUUGGAGUCUCAGGGUGUUUUAUUGAGAUGUGUUAAUACAUGCUGAAUCUGUCAGUCAAAUAUGCACCCUCUGAUAACCAUCCUCAGGUGAAAUGAAUCCUGAUGGAGCCAUUUGAGAUGUUGCUGCGCCUGCUUCCCACCUGUCCUGUUGCCAAAGGCUGCUACUCAUGGGGGCAGGACUACAGAGUGGGUUAUGUGUGCAUUUGCACCUUAUCCAUAAUUUUGUAUGAGCACAAAACCGUCUUCAUUUGCUGGGAAAGCUGGAGCACAAGGUGGUGAAGCUGAAAUGUGAAUAUCUGUUCUAUUUCCCCUUGCUAGAGGGAUGGGGGAUUAACCUCUGGAAGCACACUGGAGUGGGAGCAAUGACAUCUCAGAUGCUGAAGUUAGGCUUUGAGAGCAGUUUUGCCCUCUGGAAGUCUCUGCUUCCUUCCAUCUGACUAGUUGGUGGGGUGGGAGUCAUCUCAUGGCACCCCCCGUGUAGGCUGGCAGCACAGUGUUUGGUUUCUGCUGUAAUCAGUGGAGGCCUCGUCCAUGUUGUCCAUGGGGUUUAAGGUGCGAAGGAUGUGAUGAAUGAGAUGAAUUGCACCUUCAGCUUCCCUGACUGCUUGACAGACUUUUUGCCGACUUGUUCCGAUGCAGAAGGCAACACUGCAAACACCUUUCUUUGAUCAGAUGUGACAUGUCCAUAGCCAGCUUGUUUAGGCUACAUAUAUAUGCUUUAGAUGGCUGUAGGGUGGGUGAGAUGAAUCCUACACCUGCUGUAGCAAUACUAGUGCCCCAGGCUAUGGCGGGCUGUUUGGGGAGGAUUUUUAAAGCAAGUUUUGUGAGCCCCUCUUGCAGCAAGGCUUUAUUUCCAUCUGUUUCUGGAGAAGAAUGUGGUCAGAACAAGGUUGGGGAAGGGGAAAACUCCUAUAGGUCAUGUGUAAUUUGGCAGUGGCUGUGGCACCCCGAAGCUCUGCACCCACAGCAUCUGUGAUACAUGGAGGUGAUGGGGAGCCAAGGGUAGGACUUCAGGGCAUGACACAGGGAUCAUGUGAGGGUGUUUUUAGGAAUAAUGUUGCUUGAGGCAAUAUGAGAAAGUCAGGUGGUUAAUAGUGUCCUCUUUCCCAAAUACUUAGUUUUGUGGCAAAGGUUGCUUGGCUCAAGGGUUCCAGAAUUUUAAGAAUUGUCACUUUGACACCAGUACCUAAGUCGUACGGAAGAGAUUCCAAGGUGUUUUAUUGUGUCUCGGCAAAUAUCACAAGAUGCUUUGAUGUGGUCUAUUAUGAAUAGGCUAAUUGGUAUCCAUCUUAGAAGCAGACCUCAGUACAUCUGAGGUGUGUUUUAAACAGCAUCAACUUUGUGUGAUGGGUUUAGGGGGAAACCUUGCAACCGAUGGGAAGCCAGCAGAGAAAUAUUUGACCCUCCAAUCAAAUAAAAUGUCAGGCUCAAAGUCUGCCCUGACAUCUCACCCCCGCACACAUCGUCCUGUAGGCACUGGGCCAGUCAUGAGAACCCUGUUGUCACUUCUGACACUGAAGCAUGAAGGUUCCAUCUGAAAUUGAGGAGAAACUCCUUUGCUUUGAGGUGCCAAAGCCUGGAACAGGCUGCCCAGAGAGGCUGUGGAAUCUUCUUCUCUGGAGACAUUCAGACCCCCUCUGGACACAUUCCUGUGUGAUCUGCUCUGGUGAACCUGCUUCAGCAGGUGGGUUGGACUAGAUGAUCUCCAGAGGUCCCUUCCAACCCCAGCCAUUCUGUGAUUCUGCUCCCUUGCCUUGUGAUCUCUCCAGGGUGUUGCUGUGCUGCUAUCAAUGUGGCAUAGAAAUGCACAUUACCUAUCAUCAGUCACCAUGGAAGGGACAUUGUGAACUUUAGUACACUCAUCACAGUGAAGGACCACGUUCUUCUAGCACAUGUGAGAGUACCUGAGGAAUUGCACAGGUUGUUUGUUACCUCCAGGGUCACCUACACCAGUCUGGAUGUUCGGGACUAGAGAAAUUUGGGGUUGCUUUCUCAUUACCUCACGUUGUGCCUAGGUUGAGGGGCUGCAAAGAGGAGAAAGCAACUGAAGUUGGGCACAAAAUCCAACCUCUUGUUUUCCUGGGCAGGCUGCUGCCCCUGAACGUCCACAGGCCAUGUGAGCAUGGGAAGCAUGGGCUGAUGGGCACUUGGCAACUAUUCUUGUGCAGAUGCAUGUGGAUGGUUGUGCAAUUAGGCUCCGGCCACGUGCCUUUUAGAUGGUCUCUGGUGCAGGUGUACAGGGGCUGGCUUUGCCAUCUGUGUGGGUUACGAUGGCAGAAGGUUUCCCCCCUUCAAGGGGAAUUUUCCCUGGCUGCCACGCAGGCUGAGCAGAAAGCUGAUAAAGCCCAGGUCUGGUAUCACAGCAGAUCUAUAGAUGUGUCAUGAACAAGGAGAAGGGGAAGCACCUGGAGACACAUCUGCAUCGGACCAUAUCACACGACUGUCCCAAAUGGGCAGCAACCCCAGCCAGUAGGUCCACACAGUGCCAGUUUCCUGUCUGUAUGGACUCAACCAGUCUGGCUGGUGUUUCAGGCAGCGCAGGCGAUGUCAUCCUGGGCAGGAGGCUUUCUUUUGCUUGCUUGGUUGUGUCUUAAUGCCUUGAUCGCUACCCGAUUUCUACUCUGCAGCCUCCCCCAGCUUCACAUUUUUCUUUGCAUUUGGAGCCGCAGCCUGAAAACACUCAAGCUAAACCCUGUGCCCCAACGGUUGCUCGUCUGAAAGUGUGGAGCCAGCUUGCAGCAGCUGCUAAAAUAGCAAAACUGAAGUGGGGAGUGAAAAGUGAGACGGUGAUUAAGACCCGAUUUCCUGUCGUGGCCCCGCAGGGCUCCUGCUGGCAAUGGAGUCGUUGGUGUCAUCGACAGCAACGGUGUGAAGCCUCCCAGCCAUUGGCCUUGGGCUGGCUGAAUCACUGGCAAGCUGUCCUGUGCUGCUUAGUUAUCUGAGUGAUUUGUAGAUGUUGGUGACCGUGCUGGGCCAGGCUCGGAGAGAGGAUGAGGAUCCCAUUUUUGGAAUCUGGAAAGGGUAGGGAGCCCAUGUGGGGUGGCUCAGGCUGAGCUGGGGUUGGAAGCAUCCACAGUGAGACCUGGUUCAGCCACGAGACAGUCUGGUGUUUGUUGCUUUGUGGUAUCUAGAAGAGCUGAAAGAGUGCACAGGAUUUGAGAGCACUGGGGAUGUUCGUCCUCUGAAUUUUCCUCCCAUCCCUGCCAAUAAAUUGCUUUACACCCAUAAUCUAGGACUGGGCAAGAGGAGAACGCAACGGGGAGAAAUUGCUGCUGAAGGGAUGGUGAAGCUCUGAGAACAUGCAGGUAGUUCACCGGUCCUACUGUUUGGCCCUCAUGUAGACAGAUAUCGUGAAAGAGCAAAUGCACGAGAAUUAGUUUAUCUUUUUUGGCUUACUUACACCUGAGGUUCAUACAAGGAGAAAACAACUGAGUGCAAAGGAGAUGCUGAGCUGAUGGCUUGUCUUCCAAGGACACUAUUUCACAUGUACUUAAUAACAUGCAGUGCAUUUUUGUUAGUGCCAGGGGCAGCUUCUGGUUUCUUUCUCAGCCUGGCAGUGCAAAUUGCUGCUCUCCUGUGUGUGCUUUAACAGGUCAUAGGUCCGUGCUGUGGAGGUUUGGACCUGAUGUGUUUCAUCAGUCCAGAUCACAUCUUUGUAAACUGUAUCUUUUCUGAUAGCUGAUGAAGUGAUGACGUGCAAUGCAGGGAUGAGACUUUCCUACACCACCUCAUCCUUUGGAGAAAGCCAGUUGCUAAACCCACUGCGAAGAGGCCAGAACCCCCAUUGGCUGUGGUGUUCACUUCGUGCUUGGUGGCCCAUCUGAUGUCUCAGCAAAAGAGCAGCUGAAUGAGCCCCUUGCUGCCAGAGGUGAUAGCAAGUAGUGGGAAGGAGGAGAAUGGAGAGGAGGUUACUUCUAGGUGCAAAGCACCAGGAAUGAUCUCCUUCUCCGUUUUUGCAAUAGGAGCUGUAGCUCUUUCUCCUCUCCGUGCGUCCCUGGUAUGGUUGUAGCCAUUUGGCUUGAUGGAGGCAGCGCUUCACCUAGUGUGCCAGGGGCUCACAGUAGGAAACUGGGGUCUCUACUUUGGUCACACCCUGGGCAUAUGGCCCAACAAGGAGGACCAUGGGCAUCUCCCCUACUGGGUCAUCUCACAAAGAGUGGCCAUAAGAAACCGGCACAUUAUUGCAGCCCUUUGUCAGAUUGAGGAGAAGCAGACAAGCCAAAAUCUGCAAGGCCACCUCCAUAAUUGUAGUCUCCCUCCAGAUUCGUCUUGCCCAAAAGGUGCAGGAAAGACAUCUAUCUCAUGUGACAAUGCGUGUGUGAACUUUUAUACUCUUCAACAAGCCACCUCCUAUUUCUUUGAGUUUAAAAGUCACAGCAGCUCCCAUCAACGCCGGUGCUAAACCCAUCAGAUUCUCUCACGACCCUUUGCCAUACAAAGGACAGUUGCCGCUUAAUUCAGCAGCGUGAGUGACCAUUGCUUGAAACUCAGUGCCAUAUGGCAUUUGGUCUUUUUGGCCUCUCUGAGCUCUUGGGAUCACCAGCAUCUCCUCCAAGGCUGCCUCUUCUUGUGUGUUCAUGCAUCACCCAGCACCACCGGCACAGCUGGGACAGGCUUUUGUACUAUGGAGGCCAAGUAAAUGCCCUUCUCAUUCUGAUCAGUAUGAAGGAAGUGUAAAUAAAUACAUUUUUUGUGGAGCAGAUCAGCGCAUGGGAGAGGCUCUGGUGGUGGUGGUGCUGGGGAACACGUGCUGAUUCACUGCAGCCAAGGUAAUUGCCCUGAGCUGGUAUCCUCUGCUCCCAUUUCUUUCCUCUGAUCUAGGAGUAUUUCUCUGUGGUGUGCAGCCUGAGGUGUGCAUGGCCCGUGUGUGAAAGGUGAGGAAGUGGGCAGAGGGGAGAGAUGUCCCCAGGCCAGGCCGAACAUCCCAUGUUACGAUUACUGUGUAAAGAGAGGGAGCUUGCUUGCAGAGAAAUUACUUCUGCGCUCACUAAGAGACUCAUGUUAACAUCCACUGCCAUGGGUGAGAGGGGUAUUUUACAGUAUCCUGAUGCCUUUCAUCCCAGAGGAGUUAGCUUAAAGUGCUUUUUAGACUAUUUUCACAGUGCUGAGAAAGGGAUGAGCAAUAGGUUUGCCAUGAAACAUCCUUUCCAGCUGGGAGAGCAGCACCUACUGCUGCAGCUGCGGUGCUGGGAGCUGGAGCUCUUCAAAUGCAUCAACUUCUGCUGGCUACAAAAGCAACACCACAGCACAGCAUCGUUUUAGGAGUCUGGAGGAAGAGCUGCCCAUGAUUGUUUUAAGUAUUUUAGGAAUUAUUUUGAAGGAGGAUGGAUUAAAGGAAAGGAAAUAGCGCAGAUAUGGGAAGGUAAACAACUGCUUUUUGAGCAGGGAGGCCAAGGAUGGCUUUGAGGUGAGAGCAGGGAACAGACUGCAGAUGGAUUUGCUGUGCAGAGUGCCAUCAACCAGAUGUAACACUCUUCUCUCUUUCCCAGAGAGAUCUUUCAUAUCAAGUUAAGGAGGAAACAGCGCUUGGCUGGAGGAAACAACAUAGCCUUGGUCUGGUGGCACCUGGAAUGUUCACUGGUCCUGAUUCCCCACCCCAGCAAGGCUAUGGAAGACCUGAAGAACAUGGAAAAGACAGCAAAUUUGCUCCGAGGAAUGUGGGCUUGGUAGCUCCUUGGGAGGGCGUCCAGAGGAGACCCUGACGGUGGUGAGCCAUCUGGUGGCCUCCCCAUUGCUUUCUGGCUUUGCUCAGUCUGAUGGUGGAAGGUGGUGCUCACACCUUGCAGCGUGUCCAGCCCAGGCAAGGUGCUGCAGGCCACACUUUGAUGUGCCUUGCCUUUGUGUGCCAAGCCCACGUUCAGUGUCAGCAGCAGAGCCAAACUAUCGCCAGCGAGUGUGGAACUCUGUUUGUAAAACCCAUGAGAAGACAGGAAAGGUCAUUUCGUUUGAAGGAGAAAAGGGGCAAAAGGAGAGAUGCCACGUGGGUUUGUCAUGUUCCCUUGAAGGAAACAAAUCAUCUCUGCGAUCACGGGAGAGCAGCAGGGAAGCAGCUGAGGGAUGAAAACCGGCUCACCCCUUAGCAACGCUCUCUCACAUCUCUCCUCUUGUGUGCCUCUUCACCACCAACAGCAGGGAAUAAAAAGGAAAAAGAAAAAAAGAAAAAAGCAGCUAAAUGGGUUUUGAACAGAUGCCAAGGCUGAUUUAAUUAGGUGUAUUGAAUUUGUUAACUUCUGAAUUAUGUGUCUGCCGCGUGGCACAGAUGACAAGCAGUGACAGUGGUGCAGCACCGACCUGCCAGGAGGUUCAGCAAAGCAGAAGGAUUGACCCACUUCCAGCAGCUCUGCGGGGAGCGCAGGAGAACGCCCUCCGCUCGCAGGGAAAGCUCUGGUCCUGGGCUGGGGGCUGCCGGGGAGCCCUGCAGCAGCCCUGGACUCCAGCAUGAGCCCCGGGCUGGGUAAAUGUCUGUGUGCCCAUGGGAGCAGCUCACCCUCCUGCUUUGUGUGCUGACCUCUGGCUUCUGGCUGACUCUGAUUUUCUGCUUUUCCCACCUAUUGCACCCUUAACGAAAAAUACCCUGGUGUUCUCUGAUAAUGGGCCUAAAUGCUGCUGCAGCUGAUAAGGGUGAUAAAGUCAUCCAUGCACACUGCCAUGGCAACCUGCACCAAUUGCUCUUCUCUCUCAAUGCGUCUCAGCUCUUCAGCGUGAGUGCAGACGUGUGGAUUUGGCUGAGACUUGCCUGGGAAUUACCCAAAUCUGGAGGGUUUGGCUUUGGUUAUGAGCUCUGCCAUGGACAUGGAGCUGUUUGGCAGCUCCCAGCCUUGCUGGCCACUCCUUGAAGCAGAGCAUGCUUCCCCUUGAACCUUGCUGUGGGCCCUGGUGGUGCAGGUUGCAUCUUGAAAGACUUGUUGGCACCAGAGAGGGGGCUUCUGAAAAACAAAUUUGUUUCCAAAUGCAUUUCAUAAUGAUUAUCAAGAGGAACCUGCUCCUAGCCCCACCAUGAUGCACAUUUGUGUAGACCCUGCUCAGUGCCAGGGUCCUCACUGCAGACAGCAACCACAGGAUCACUGUGAGGUCAGUGCGGUGCCUCCUUGCCAAGUGACCUCCCAUCUGGAGAAGUUUAACUACUGAGUUGCAUCUUGAUGUUCUGCCUCCAGUACCAGCCAUGAGCUGAACUCCUCCCAUUCAUUUGGCAGUCUUCUCCAUUGCUCGUUAGUGUCAGUGCAAAAAAAAUGUCCCAUGGAAUUGUCUGUCAAGUGUUGAAGAAAGAAGGUGGAUUUCGUGAGCCAGCAAUGGUGUCUUGUGGUAGGGAAUGGUUGCCAAGACCUUGGAAGCUAGAAGACACCAACAGAGACAUUUGAGAAGUAAACAGGUAUGGAAGUACUGCAUGAAACGCAGGUCUAGGUUGUGCUGAAGAUCACCAUGUGUGAGGACAUGGCCUCAGGUUGUGCCAGAGGAGGUUUAGAUUGGAUAUUAGGAAAAAUUUAUUCCUGGAAAGGGUUGUCAAGCAUUGGGACAUGCUCACCAGGGAAGCGGUGGAGUCACCAUCACUGGAGGUGUUUAAAAGACAUGUAGAUGAGGUUCUUAGGGACAUGGUUUAGUGCCAGAGUAAAGUUAAUGAUUGAAUUCAGUGAUCUUGAGGGUCUCUUCCAAUCAAAAUGAUUCUGUAAUUCUAUGGUUCUAUGAAUGAGAUGUUGAGGUGGGAGGAAGCUUAGACACAUCAUCAGUCUCCCCUGGUUGUUGUCCACGUUGGUAGUCACCCAGAGUGGUGAGGAACUUGCUAUUUUAAUGGGGAAAUUAGGCAAAGAUGUGUUGGGGAACUUGUCUGAGGUCAGGCAGAGGAGACGACUGGGAUGUUGUUUCCCACCAUCAAAGCUCUGACCUUUUCCUGCCUCGAGUGUGGUUUCUUCUCCUGACCCCACAGCACUUCUCAGCUGGAGCAAAAAAGGGUUGCUUGAGUGGGGAGACGAAAGAAGAAAUGUUAUUUCACUGAGCAAUGUCAGGAAAUGUAUGGGAGGAAGAAACAGGACAGAUGGAAGGAACCCAGCUGCCUGCUUUUGCAAGGAAGACAUCUCUUUGUAGCAUCGAAGCUGCUUUCAGGAUUUAUGAUUCAGCUUUCAAGUUGGUUUUUGAUAGUUAGGAUGUUUUCAUUUUGACUUAAUCUGUUGACAAGGUGGUAAGAGCCCUGCGAGGAGGCGUAUCUCUCCAUCAGGUAUGACUAAUUGUGUUGGGACAGCCGCGUACGCGAUAACACUUCUGUUUUUCUCUAAAACAGCUCCAUUACAGACCGCCUGGUAGCCGAGCCCCAGAGAGUGUUUUUGUGGGAGUUUUGCUGAUUGUGCAGCCCAGAUAACCUGUGAGUGAGCAAACAUGGGAAGCCCUGAAUGUUCAGCUCAAAAAUCAGAAGCAGACUUGUUUAGCUGCUUGUCUGAACCGAGCUUUUAAUUGUGUGUUGUCAGUGCUUUUCAGGAAACUCAUCUCAUCUGAGACAUGUCAUUUGGUGAUGAAGUGCUCUGAUUUAGGGACAGCCACCAGGAGCUCUGUGAAGGCCAGGACUCACGGCUAGGCACUGGUGGCUUUGCAGCUCAGUGUUGUGUGUUGCUUCCCUUUCUUCUCCUUGGAGAGAAAAAGUCCGUCUGUGCGAAAUAGAUGCAUUUUUAAGGGAGAGCCAACAGUGUGAUUUGUCUUAGUCUUUCACUCAAAAAACGAUCCAAACAAACCAGUUUGCUGUAGAAGUUGGUAAACCCUUUCUCUAGAUGUUUGCUGCUGUUGAUCCCGUUUCUGCAGGAAUCCAGGAGUUUUGGUGCAGCCUAAGGGCUGAAUUUAAAUCUCUUGCAGUUGAACUACUUGCCCCCUGCUCCUCAGGGUAACAGUUGUAUGUGUGCAUGAAAGCCACGCUUAUGUCCCUCAAGAAGUGUGUCAGCACUGAGGAGCCUCUGACCUCAAUAUAUCAGCUCAGUGGUCAACAGCCUUAUGCAGAAAGAGCUUUAGUGUGCAACUCUUCCACAUGGCAGAGUUUAAUCUUUGUAUGGGUUACAACAGCAAGCUCUCUGCAGGAGGCUACACAGCUUUAAAGCCGUGCUUGCCUUCAAUGUAAGCAAUUGCUUGCUCCUCAAGGAGAUCUGUAGUCACCUGAAAGCUGCCCUGAAAGCAGGUGAGUGCUCAGUCUGUCCAAUAUAUGGAGGUAGCAGAGAUCUUGACCCUUCCUCUGCCCCUGUUCCCGAGGAGGGAGGCAGGCUUUCCUGCCUGCAGCAAGGCACCUAUUCUGCUAUAGAAGUGCAAGGCCACUUCCACCAUGAUGCCAGCAUGGGGCAAUAGUUUCUAGUUGGGUGUUAGAGCAGUUAUUCAGCAGUAAUCAGAAGGGUGAUGCACGAGGAGGUAGUUGGUCAGUGUGCACCUUCUGAGGGCAUUGACUUCUCACACUAAACUCACCAAAGGACCAUUUCAGUUUUCUUCUCUCUUUCCAGUGUUGGCUUUGUUGCUUCUUGUUGGAGGACAGCAGUUACAGAAACAACAGAUUCACAGAAUGAUUGGGGUUGGAAGGGACCUCUGAAGAUCAUCUAGUCCAUCCCACCUGCUAAAGCACAUUCACCUAGAGCAGAUGUGUCCAGGUGGGUUUGAAUGUCUCCAGAGGAGACUCCACAGCCUCUCUGGGCAGCCUGUUCCAGGGCUCUGGCACCCUCAAAGUAAAGAGGUUUCUCCUCAUAUUCAGAUGGAACCUCCUGUGCUUCAGUCUAUGCCUAUUGCCCUUCAUCUUAUCAUUGGGCACCACUGAACAGAGUUUGGUCUCAUUCUCUUGACACCCACUCUUGAGAUACUUAGAGACAUCGAUGAGAUCCCCUCUCAGCCUUCUCUUCUCCAAGCUGAACAGACCCAGCUCUCUCAGCCUUUCCUGAUAAGAAAGAUGCUCCAGACCCCUCAUCAUCUUUUUAGUUCUAUAUUGAACCAUUCAGUAGUUCCUUGUCUUUCUUGACCUAAGGAGCUCUGGGCAGCUGAACAGACGGGCAGAGCUCAGGACAUGAACUUGGCAGCUGAGAACACCAGGGGGGAGGCUCCACUCCUGAAAGUGUGAGAAAGCUCUGGACACAGAGAGGGCUUGUGCCUUCAUGAUGGCCUUAUGACCAUGAUCCACCUAGGGUGACCUUGCUGUGGAUGAGGUGUGUCUUGCAGGGGUACAGCUCUUUAAAAUAAGGAUAUUGUCCCAUGGACAGGAGUGACCUGUUGGUGUUGAGGUUGGUUCCCCUCGCUCCUGUUGGAUGCCCCGGGGCGGGAAGAGGAGGCGCACGGGCUGCCAGCGCGGCUCUGAAAACGUCGGCUGUGCAGAGUCCGUCCCCGUCUGGACUCGUAGGGGCUGCUGCGCACAAGGCCUUCACACAGGUUCCUUAACAGGCUCCUUUUCACUUUUUCCAGGGACUUGCACUGUGCUUCAUUUCAGAGGGAUCGAGUGAAUUAACAUAUUGUUGCUGCUGCCUGGGUAAUUGCAUGCUCCGGGUCUGCUUUGCUCCACACAGUCUUCGCAGCUUCCCAGACAGAAAGCAUCCUUUUCCUCUGGCAAACAAGGCUGCAAAGUCUUGCCCUGAGACCUUCCUCAAAGGAUGGAGAAAUGGGAGGGUGGGAAGAGGAGGGGGACGCUGUUUCCAAAGGCUUCAAGACCUCACCUCUCAAUGAGGAGGAGGAGGUGAGGGUUUUCAUCUUUAUUUCUGUACCAAGAUACUAAUUUUGCCUGAAGCUGUGGUUUCUUUUGCUGUUUUGUACAGACCUCAGUAUGGGUGCAGUUACAGAAAUUCAGACCAGCUCAAGUCACUACAGGGGCUCCGAAACUGCCUGAAAUUAGCCAUCCUGGCUCAUGCAGGAGUUUCAGCAGAAGUUGAAACUGGGUGAUCUGAUACCCUCUUCUGUAAUGAAAAUAAAAACCUAUGAAUAGGUAGAUACAAAAAUGCUUACUGGUCUCACUUCCAAGUACAAAAAAAGCCACAUGUGGAUAAACCCUAAGAGCCCUCUAAGGCCCUGUGAGAACAGACCACAUCUCCAAACAUGUUGGUGAGCGUAUCUUCAAAGUUGGACCAGUUUCUUAAUGCAAAUGCAGGUUUGCCUUUUAAAAAGAUGUUAUUUGGUCAGGACUGACUUCUGUUUGGGGGAAGUGGCAUCCCUUAGGCUUUGGGCUCCGAAAAGAAAGGUGGUUGUGUGCAGUGUGAGGAGGGCAGGUUUACUCCCUGGCAUGGCUUGGCUAUCAAGUGGAGGCAUGAAGGGGGCAGGGAGGAUCAAGACUCUGGGACAGAGAGGAGGAGGUUGGUUCAUGGUUCUGCCACUGACCUCCUGACUGACCUGGGGCUAGAAGAUGAACCUCUAUUCUCCCACCUCCUCCUCUCCUGCCCACCCAGCACACGUGAGAGUUGCCUCAUGAUUUGUAUGGCUUCUUCUAAGAAACCAGAGCUCAACAGCUCUGUCUGUAAGGUCCCUUUUCAUCUUCUUGGUUGUGACAUUUCCUGCCUCUUAGCCACAUAAGUUAUUUUGACUGGAGACAAGACAUUACUCCAACACCCUUUACAACACCGGGGUUGAAGGGGGAAGGCUGUGCUGGCAGUGGAGCUUGCUCAUCCUGCACCAGAGCAUUGCAGCUUGCGGGACAGAGGGAUGGCUUCUUGAGACAUCUCCAUCCUGUGGAACAGAGGCUGCAGCACUGGGCAGUAUAGAGAGUCCUUUUAUAGUCAGUGCUAUUCACUUGGCUUAGGAAAUCCUGCGUGGUCAGUAAAUGUGUGUGUAUAGGGGAGGGAGGAGGUGUGACUGCCCUCCAACACUGGUCUUGUGUGUACCGCAGAUGGGACAUGGGUGGGGAUUCCUCGGCCAUUGAUACCCAAACUGAGAUGGACAUUUGGGUCUGGGUCACUGUGGGACUGGAUGCAGAAAAGUUUGGUUUGUCGUGUCCCACGGUGUCACAGAGGCACCCCGAGGUUAGUUUAAGGGACAACAGGGUCCAAAACAACUUUUAUUAAACCGGUGAGAAACAGGGUUUUAGCACUCCAAAAGCGACUUAAAUAAAGGUUCGGAUAUCAGUUGAGGAAAAUUAUUAAGGGGCAGCAACUAAUACAACAGGUGGUCCACAGAGUGCAUGCACGUGGCUUCACCAAAACAAUGCCGGAGCCGGCCCUGUGUCCCAGAGAAGUACACACUUGCCUGAACACGGUGCGGGAUUAUUUUUAAAGAGAUACAUGUACGGGAAGUGUACACUCGCGAUUCUGCGAGGAUUAAUUUUACACGUGCAAAUCUGCACAGAAUAUUACACGUGCUUAUGUGGAAGCACGGGAGGAAAAUACACUCGCAAUUGUGCGAGGAAAUAAUUUAUACACAUGCUCAUAUUGAGCAUGGAAAGUUACACGUGCAAAUGUGCGUGGAAAGUACACUUGCGACUGUGCAAGGAAAUAAUUUAAAGUACACGUGCAAAUGUGUGUGGAAUAGUACCUGUGCAAAUGUGCACGAAAAGUAUAAACAUACUCGCAAUCCUGUGAGGGUUAAUUUACUUACACACGUGGCGGCAAGGCAAGCGGAGUCUCAGUCCCGGGGAGCGGGGGGGCCGUGGCUCCUGGUGGCGGUGGCUAAGCUCGUGCUCCGAGAGACCCGCGAUAAUGGGCGGAGUCUCGACGAGAGUCCCGUUUUUAUACUGGCUGAUCAGAUCUGACUGUAGGCAUUCUAGAAGCUUCUCUGCACCCCCACACUGGCUGUGGGUACCCCUGAAGCCUCCAAACAUCCCCCACACUGGCCGCAGGUGCCCAGCGGCUCACUGGCACCUCGGCACUCCCUUCUCCUAAUGGCCCUGGCCAGGGUGCUCUGGGGCCAAACAAGAGAAGCUGUUGGCCUCAAGUAGCAGAGAGAGAAGGAGAUGUGCCUACUCAUUCCAUACUGAAGGAGGGAGGGGAGGAGAGGGGGGUUUGCAUUCUGCCACACACAGAAAACACAACUUACAGUGCUUACAGGGACCUUCUGGUCUUCACAGUCUUGGGUUGUGAUUGUCUCUAAACUCUUUCUCUUGGGUGUUAUCACAGUACCCAAGCACUGAACAAUUCCCACCCCUUUCUCCAAAGCCUCUGCACUGGUGGCAGUUAGAGGAUUAUUUGUAGGACUGUAGGAUAAUUCAGGCUGAAAGGGACCACAGGUGGGUCAGCUGUGAGAUCAGACCAGGUUGCUCAUGACUUCAUUCAGUUGAGUCUUGAAGACUCCUAAGGAUGAGAGUGCACAGCCACAGCUUGACUGUCAUCACAUGGAAAAAGUUUUUCCUGACAUCCUCUCUGAACCACUCUUGUUUCAAGUGAUGGAUGUUGUCACUCAUUCCUCUGCCAGACACCACUGUGAAGAACCUGGCUUUGUGUUGUCAGUAACCUCUUGCAGUUGCUGGGAACUGCUGCUAGAUCCCUCAAAGCCAUCUCAUCCCCUGCUGACCAAGCCCAGCUCCUUCAACCUCUUCUUCUCCUCCAGCUUCUGGCCAGUUUGGUGCUCCUUCACUGCACUCCCUCUAGCUUGUCCAUGUGUUUCUUGUAUGGAGGUGCCCAAAAUUUGAUGCACUGUCUAGGUGUGGUCUAAUGAGCACUGAGGUCUCUUGCCUUGACCUACUAGCUGUGCUCCUGCAACCCAGGAUGCUGUUUGUCCUUGAUGCAGUUUGUUUGUGCCUCGAUGAUCUCUUCAAUAGGACCUGUCACUGUGCUUGGGAAGCCUGAGUGUUCCUCAGUGGCCAGGAGGGAAGAGGAACUUGGAGGUGACAAAGACCUCACUGCUAAAGAUGUGGACUUCCCCGGGGAGAGGGACCAAGCGUGGACAGGUAAGGCAAUGAACUGAGUUCUGCAGAAAAAUGCAAAGAGGUGUAGAAUUAUAAUUACCACUGUCUCAUUGACUCAUCUGUGAAGCAAGUUUUCACUCGAUGAUGUGCUUCCCAUGGGGCUGUGACUGUUGAUGGCCACCGAGUGCCGAGGUCCUGCAAUACCUGUGCAAAGAGCUGCUGAACAAACACUGCUCGCUGCUGGGGGCGAAGCAUGGUUCCUGGUAGCCAUGUGUAGAGGAAUUUUUACAUAUAUAUGGAUACAUAUACCAUAUUGAAACAAAAUGCUGUGAUUUCAUUUUGUGCUGCCAACAGUUAGUGAGUUUGAAAGUGGCAACCUUAUAUUCUUUAAGAUCCAAGAGCUUUGGGAAAAGAUGCAUUUUUUAUACCGGACUAAUUUAAAAAAUGCUGUGGUUUCUUUAGUGCAGCGCGGUAGAAAUAAAAGACCAAAACGAGAGAGACAGAAGUACCCGUACAAUCAUUGUAAAGGUUUUCUACUUUUCCGAUUGUGUUCUCUUCAGGAAAUGAGACUGACUAUAUUUGGGAUAGGAAUGAAACCACACAUCAAAAGCCACUGUCGAGGUCAUGAAGUGACCACAUUGAAAAAGUACUGAAAAAUGUGUUCUAACUAGCACCUUUCCCAGCCUGUAGGAAUCCUGGCUGUGGCUUGCAAUUGUACUAGGGUGAAGAUUUGCAUUUUCAAGCUGGCGGUUUUCCUUUUUACUCUUCCACUUCCUACCAGCUAAUUCGGUGCUGUGUAAAGUGUGAAUCUGGAAUGCAAAUCAUCUCACCUGCUGGUUUUUCUUUCAUUUUUAGGUUUUCUGACUCUGGAAGCUCUCCUGAGGAGCUGCAUCAUGCGCUGUUGCCCUUGGGAUGGGAUGCGGAGCUGGGAGCCAGGAGGAACCGCAGUGUGCUGCUGCGAGUUGCUUUAGCAAGGAGAGAGGCUUCUGGCGUGUCGUAUGGUGCCGAAAACCGUUCUACCCUUGACAGCAAAAAUCCUUAUCCUUCCCGUGUUUUUUUCCAGGACAGCUGAUAUUUCCUGUCAGAGGUGUUUUGUAUGCAAAUCAAGGUGGUACAACAAAAAAAGUCCUGAAAGUAAUCACACUGAUAAACUCAGACCACUGGGGAAUUCCUACUUGUCGUUUUUUAUCUUUUCUUUUUUCAGUUGUCUACAAGAUACUUCUUUGCCUGCUCUUUAUUGCAGUCUUUAAUGUCUGUCUUGCCAGAUCUCUUGCUUAUGAACUAUAGUGUUUCUUGAAUUCUGUUAGUCUAUGUGAGUAGGUUGCACUAGGCGCUGGGAAUUGGGGUUAACAGUCCCCGUGUUUCAGCUUUGCCCUGCAUUGCUCUGGUGCUUUCUGGUGUUCAAGCUAGACAUGGGCCUCACGCUGCAGAUUGCAGUGUGCCUGUAGUGAUGCUCUACCUGGGAAAGCAAGCCCAGAAACCUUUAGGAAGCUGAGGAAAGCAAAGAGCAGAGGUGGAAAACAAAGAGAAACCAGCAAAAGUUUGCCCAGUAACUUAAACAGGAGCAGGGUUUGACCCUCCUGAGGCACCUCAAGAGAUGCUGUGCUCAACACAGCACUAAUGCAGCGGCAUGAGUUGGUCGCCUCCUCGCUCUGGCACAGCAAAGUCGCAUCUGCCCAGCCUGUGCCCUGUAGGUAUCCCCAUAAGAGCAAGGGGCUGAUCAGAGCCUUGCUCACACCAGGCUCACUCCUUGUGCUGGCAGCAGCCGCUUGCUGAUGCUACAAGUUUUGGGGUUGGAAAAAAGAACUUGUGGAAGCAAUGCAAGAAAAGGACAUGUCAGAGCAAGAGAGCUGCAGAGCUGCAUGGCCUGGAGAACGUUCCUGUGCGUGUCCAGAGAUACCCGCUGCAGCCCAGGUCUUGUUGAGUCACACUGUGGUUGCUCUGGUGUUUGUGUGGGUAACAGUGAUAAUCGUCUUGUGUGGUGUUGGGUUCUGUUAUUUGGUUUUUCUUGAAUGUAACAUCAACAGGCAAAUUGGCAUUGGUAGGGCAGUGAGCCUGGUGUGGCUUUUAUCUUCCCCAAACCUGGGGACAAAGGAGGAGAGGAAAAUGACUUGACCAGUUUGGCGGCCGUGUGCUUAACGGUACCGGAGUUCAAAGCAAAGGACACAACAGUCAGAUACCCAAACCCGCCUGGGCUUCAGCUGAUAAGUCGCAUUUCAAAGCGAAAGGCAAUCCUGAUGUGGCUCUGUUGAGUGACUGGAGCCUCCAAUGCCGAGUCUUCUUUAAAAGGGGAUUUCAUAAGGAGUAAUAUGAACAGAAAUGGCUCUUCUGUGGUUUUACGCAUUCCAGGCAUGCCAGGACUGUUCCUGUCAAGGAUGGGCAGUCUUUGGGGUUUUGGGUUCUUUUUUUUUUUUCUUUAAAAAUGUUUGCCACAAACUAGCAGCUGAAAUGGUGAAAAAUAAAUGAGAGCUGCAAAAUCAUUACAGUAGCAGUAAUGGAAACUGUGAGGCUUAUACCUAAACUGGCUGUGGGGUUUCACCCUGUCAUAUGCGCUGCUGCGCUGUUGGGAUCACAGCUUUUGCCCACUAUGACUGCUUCAGGAUGGAUGAUUUAAAAGCAGAACUUCAACUGUUGGUUACCCAGAACCUCAAAAACCAGUGCUUUAGGCUUUUUUUUUUCAGAAACUGUACCUUUUCAGCUGAACCACUAUUAAGCAUUAAUCCCUUUCGUGUCAUUGCAGUUUUGUGGACAUAACUGCAUCCUUAUGUUGUGCCAGCAACAUUAAUUUCUGCAGAUCCAUGGGAACAGAAAUAGGAUGUAGCUACUGCUGCUUCUAGUGCACUUAGUUUCAAGCAGGCUGCAUCAGGUUGAUUUGCACCUAUACACUUCAACACAAACAAGAUUUUAAUUGGUUUAAGAGUUUCUAUACAGAAAAUUAUGAUGCCUUAAACCUUAUAGUGCCUUAACUCUGCCUUAAAACAGAAGUUUCGAUACGUGGUAAAGCACUACAUAGUUUCUGUAGACCCAGCGUAUUAGAUGAGUGUUUAAUUAUUAAUAAUAAGCCUACGUGUCCUGUUCUUCUGGGUGUGUGUGCUGCUCCUGUUGCCACACUCCUGUGUGCUUGUGUAGGUAGUAGGAGCUCAUGGAUGGCUAAAAAAGCCAGUGGCUAAGAAAGCCACUCCUUGAGUCUCUCAGGAGAAUGGCUGUAAAAGUGUGUAAUUAAGUGUGGACCUCAACCUGCCCCGAGACACCCUCCAUGAACACUCAGCACCUUUAUCUGCAGCACCAGGCUGACCGCAGCCAGCUCAGCGCCUCGAGGAGCUGAAGCUUCACCGGUACCUGCUCUGCAGAUGAGAUUCAUCCCUCCGCAGGGAAGCAGGGUCUGAGCCGGGCUUAUCCCGGCAGAGGCUGAGCCAUGGGGCCAGAGAUACACACCCUGAGAAUGUGCUUUACAGCCAGGGUUUGGCCAUAGCACAAGCGCAAGCAGAGGGUGAGAGGCAGAGGGUGAGAAAGCAUCUCUUUGAAAGGGCAAUAAAAGAGACACUGUUGGAAUGAACCUUCUGGCUUGGUUUUAUUAAAUGUGAAUAUGAAUAUUUAGUGAUGAACAGGAGUAGAUCCAGGAUGUGAUGCUUGAAACCCCUUCCCACUCUCCAGCCCCCCAGGCUGAAAGAGCUGGGGUUGUGCAGCCUGGACAAGGCUCCGGAGAGACCUUAUUGUGACCUUUCAGUACUUAAAGGGGCCUGUAAGAAAGAUGGGGACAGGCUUUUUAGCAGGGCUUGUUACAGUAUGAUAAGGGGAAAUGGUUUUAAAGUAAAAGAGUGGAGAUUCAGGCUGGACAUGAGAAGGAAUUUUUUACAGUGAGGGUGGUGAAACACUGGUCUACGUAUCCCAGAGAGGUGGUAGAUGCCCCAUCCCUGGAGACAUUCAAGGCCAGGCUGGACGGGGCUCUGAGCCACCUGAUCUGGUUGAAGAUGUUCCUGCUCAUUGCAUGGAGUUGGACUGGAUGAGCUUUGAAGGUCCCUUCCACCCCAAAUUAUUUUAUGAUUCUAUGAACACAGGCUGAUGUUACAGAGAAAUCUCGAGGCCGUUGCCUGGGCUGUUGUAGGUCUGUGGGUGGCAGAACUUUAAUCACCCAGGUCGUCAUUGAGUCCUGCACUUGUGAGAUACAAAGAAGGAAGAACUGGUGUUAAUUCUGUGCUCAACAUAAAUAUUUUUCACCUGGGAGGAGUCUGGUCUUUAAGCCUUUUGGACUGCUUGCCAUUUUGGGUUAAAGUUUUCUUUACCCAAUCAGUUCUUCCAACCACAGAAAUUUGGAAACAAAAAGUCAGGAGGUGUAGUCAGCAGCGAGCUGUCUUUUUACUGGGCCUAUCUUGCAGGAGGUGGUUUUGGAGUGAAUUUUGCUCUGACCACUCAAGGUCUCUCCUGUGGAAAUACUUAUCUCUGUGCAGCUGUAGCAAGCUUUACAAGUGGCAGAAAAAAACUACUUUUUAAAAUGAAAUAGAUGUGUUUUCCUUACAAGUCACAGAGACAAAUUGUGUGUUUGAGAAGAUUUUGUUUUGAACCAAAAUAACUUUUCCACUUACAUAGAGUGGGAAAACAAGUGGACCUCGAGUUGCAUUUCAAUGUAGAUUUCAUCCAUUUGACCGCAGCAGAAGGUUACAUUGGCAUGUUCUGUUAUCCUUCUGUUGGCAUAUCCUUGCUUGAUGUUUCUUCUUCAGAAUCUCAGUUUCUCUCUUUCGAUGGUUUGAGAGUUUCGAUAGAGAUAAAUGUUUGUGUCCUUGGGAAGGCUAUGGCAAGUUAUGCAGUGGUGAAGAGAUGCUGUCAACCUGUAGAAGGGCCAGUUUUUGACAGCAUGGGAAGUGGUUAGUGCCUCAUUUGACAUCCUCACAUCAAAGCUGGACAGUAGGCUGGUCGAGAUGUUCUGUUUGAACCACAAAUUACUGGGCUUCGAGCAGAAAUCACUGGAUGAAAUUCUGUGGUCUUUGUUAGGCAGGAGGUCAGACAAAAUCAUUUAGCUGGUUACUCUCAGCUUUUAGAAUUUAUGAAUCAUAUAGUCAUGGGGUUUUUUUUAAGUUUCCGUGAAAAGCUUUCCUUGGUAGCAUGCUGCCAAUGAAACCCAUCUGUUCUCUCAUCCUUUCAUCAUACUGUGCUGCUUUUGAAUUGUCCUAGAAGGAGGAUGAAAUUGGGCUUAUUAUUUAAAUUUCAGUAUGGGUGGCAAAAGCAACUCUACCUUGAUUAUUAUGGGCCUCCCAUGACCACAGGAAUGGAUGAUGCCUAAUGCCAGCCUUCAUUUAGCAGACAUCUGAGGACCAGCUCAUCACCACGGCAUUACCAACAGUUGUCUCUGUGCCCCGUGGGAAUUGUGCAUCACGGGAUCCAGCAACAAGACAGAGAUGGCAGGGAAGGUCAUAAGGCAGCAUAUGUGAUUUAGUUAGUGUCCACUUUAUCUGCAAGCCACCAAACCUGGGGCUGCAGGAACUGGCAAGAAAGAGACACUUUAGUUGUCUGGCUGUGUAAGAGUCCCUGAACUUCAGUCCUACACAGCACCUUGAGAAAACAGGGAAAUUUGGGAAAGACCAGAGAAAUGCAAUAAUAAGAGAAGAGGAAAGGCACACUGCGCGAUUCUUUGGCUUGACAGCCUUGGCUUUUUUGUAUGGUCUAAGUCUUUCUUAGGGUCUUUCUGUGUCCACCUGUCAGGCGGUGUGUGCUUACUUGCUGAAACCCAUUCUUCCUGUUGUAAAGAUGAGUUUUCACAAAAUCACAGAGUGUCUGGAGUUGAAAGGAACCUCUGGAGGUCAUCCAGUCCAACCCACCUGCAGGUUCACCCGGAGCAGAUCACACAGGAAUGUGUCCAGGCGGGUUUGAAUGUCUCCAGAGAAGGAGACUCCACAGCCUCUCUGGGCAGCCUGUUCCAGGCUCUGGCACCCUCGAAGUAAAAAAGUUUCUCAUCAUAUGCAGAUGGAACCUCCUGUGCUUCAGUCUGUGCCCAUUGCCCCUUGUCCUAUCACUGGGCACCACUGAGAAGAGUCUGGUCCCAUCCUCUUGACAACCACCCUUGAGAUAUUUAUAAACAUUGAUGAGAUCCCCUCUCAGCUUCUCUUUUCAAACUGAACAGACCCAUCUCUCUCAGCCUUUUCUCAUGAGAAAGAUAAUCCAGAUCCCUCAUCAUCUUUGUAGCUCUCUGCUGGACUCUCUCCAGUAGUUCCUUGUCCCUCUUAAACUGGGGAGCCCUGAACUGAACACAGUACUCCAGAUGCAGCCUCACCAGGGCAGAGUAGAGGGGGCGGAACAGCCUCCCUCGACCUGCUGGUCACACUCUUCCUAAUGCACCCCAGGUACCAUUUGCCUUCCUGUCCUACAGCAAGACUUCCAUCCAGACCUCAUCAGGGCUGGGCAAUGCUGGGCAUAGUUUAAACUAUUGGGUCAAAAGGCUUUGGAUCCAUCUCAUCUUGAGGCAGUCAUCUGAAAUAGGUGGGUUGCCCUCUGGUAGUGGCUGUUUGCCUGCAGUGACUGUUGGGGAGGCCAGACAGCUGGCUGAGAUGUGGACUCCUGCACUUUGGAUGUCUGAAGCUGCAUGAGACCAACCCCCUACUCAUUGCCUGCAUGAGUGAGAAGGAGCUACUAGAACAAAACAACUAAUGAAGAUCCAUCUGACACCAUCCGAGACAAGUAUAAUAGAGAAAUUUUAAUCAGUUCUGACAAGCUGAGCGAUCCCUGGAGGUCCUGUACUGAGCCUGACCCACUUGCUGGGCCCCAGUAGUGCAGCACCGGGCACUCUGCCUUUUGAAGAGUGAAGGGACAGAGAUCUAAAAAGAGACAAGGGAGAACAGGGGAAGGGAACAAGUGGUAAGACUUUAUUAAGAACUAAUUGGUAUAUUUUGAUCAUUAUUAAAUGCAAACCCUCCUUCAGCAGCAUUUAUUUUUUUUUUUUUCCGAGCUGCACAGAAAGGAGGGAGGUGUUUGCAGAGAUUUGUUUUCAACUCGAUCAAAUGAUCAGUGGGGGUCGUAAAACACUGGCCCAGGUUGCCCAUAGAGGUGGUAGAUGCCCCAUCCCUGGAAACAUUCAAGGCCAGGCUGGAUGGGGCUCUGAGCAACCUGAUGUAGUUGAAGAUGUCCCUGCUUAUUGCAGGGGGCUGGACUAGGUGAGCUUUGAAGGUCCCUUCCAACCCAAACUGUUCCAUGAUUCUAUGAUUUCCCGGUUCCAUCCCUGCACCCCUCCCAGCUGCAUCCCUGUCUCUCUGUCUGUGCCAUGUUGGGAAAGUGGCUGUGAGCAUGUGUCCUGGGGACUGAGCUCCAGCACGAACCUGGCCCAGUGUCGGGCUGCUCCCAUCCCAGGCUGUCACCUGCUGUGUGGUGAUGGAGGGAGGGCACUUUGGGUUUAUGUAGGGCCCAUCAGUGUGGGUGAGAGCAGAUGUACAGGCGGUUGUUUCCUCUGGUCCCUGAGCUGUGGAGCCUGACGUUAGUUCGGAGGCUGAACUCAAAAAGCCUUGCUUAAAGGAAGGGUAUUUCGACUCCAGUUAGCAGCAUGGGAGCAUGGUUACAAUAUUCUCAGGGCCAAGUGAGCUCACCAACAACUCACUUGUUGGGAAGAUAGACCUUUGUCUGUGAUUCAUUCAAGAUUUUGCUAAGCCACUCUUCUCCACAGCAGCUCUGCUUUUCUGCUUGCUCACCAGGAACUUCAGCUGGGUUUGGAAAAGUCAUCCCCACAGUGACUGCCUUCUUGAAGAAUCAGCAGGAGAACUAAGUUUUAUUUACCUAAGGAAAUCAGUGCUUUUCCACUGACCUUGAUGGAUUUGGGUUGAUUUAUGCCAGCCAAAAAGCUGACCCUUCUUUCUGUCAAAGCCUGUUCCGAGCACAUGCAGGCUGUAUGGUUCAUGUUUGGUUCCUGUUCGGUUCAGAAGGGCUUACUUGGCUUUCUUCAUCAUUAUUGAAACUGUUCACUUUCUGGUGGCUUUGGCAUUCCCAGUUUUUGUCUUACAGCAGAAGCAGCAGUACUUCAUCUUCUGUGAGUCCUCAAAUAUUUUUGGUGCUUGUCAGGUGCAGGAAAGGGUGACCUCGGUAUUGCGACUGCUGAGACCUUCCUCAGAGCCAUCCUCACCCAGUGUCUAGGAAAACUGGAACAUGGGCUUGUCAUCUAUGAAAAAGGAGGGUUUUUUGAAUGGUUGAUAUGUGGGAAUAUUCCAACCUCUGCCUGUGUCUGCUUUUCUCACUGAGAGAUUGAGACAUUGUCUUUGUCUUCUUUCCUUGUUCCCAUUUUGGUGGUAGGAAACAGGCCAGCCAAGCAGCUGCAGAAAAGGUCUUAGGCAGCAAACCCAAGAGACAUGUAGGAUGCUGGUGCAGCUCCCUGGUGUCUGUAGUGAUGCUGCUGGGAGGGCCCAGCCUGGGGCGAGUGUGGCACUGACACCAUCCUACUGGCUCUCUCCUUCCUGCUUUGGAGCCUGUAACCCCAGGGUACUGAGAUGCCACAUAAACAUAAUACUGUGUCAGCUGGAUCGGCAAAGUAAACAGCACUCUCUGCUCCUAACUGGAGGGAGAUACAGCUCUGCUUUGCAUUUUGAGGGCUUCCUAGAGUUUGUGCAUAUCUCUGUAUCCAAAGCCUUGGCUCCUUCUUCCCAGUGCCUGACCACCAGGUGACAUGCAGAGGUACAAAAUCCCAGUCCCCAGCUAUGUGCAGAGAGAGAAGAGGUAUCCAGGGACCAGCCCUGGCAUCGCUCCCUGAAGCUGGUGAAAGUAUUACUGCUUCCAGCUGUCCUGACUGUCCCCUGCCUGUCCGGUUGGGUUUAUGAGCCUCUGCAGCAGAUUGGGGCUGGGAAUCAAGGGGAUAAAACACAGUUUGGGGUCUGUGAACGGUUGCAGAAACCUGGGGCGCGGGGAUGGGAGCAGGGAGGGAUAAUGUGCUAAGCCAGUGCAGGUGCUGGAUCAGUGGAGGGUGAACCAGCCCCUCACUGCCCACACUGACAGCAGGCUCCCGCGGAGCCCCGUGAUACCAACAGCAGAGACCUGGGGCAGAUUUGCUCCUGUCUUUUGGCACCUCCUCUUGCCCUGGUUGGCAGCCAUUGUUAGAUGCGUUGCCUCGUGCCAAACCUAUUCAAUGAUGCCUAAUCCUCUGCAGCCACCCAGCUCGGUGUCGUGGACUUCCUUCCAGGAGCCAGAUAUGUCAGUAGCAUUCUACAUGUGGCUUUUGAGUGGCUUGGGCAAGGCCAGGCAGCAAAGCCUGCGGCUGAGCACGUGCUGAAAUCCAACUUUCCUGAGCUCCAGGUUGGCAGCCUUUCCACCAGGAAACCUUUCGUUUAACUUCUCACCGCAGCGGUGGAUUAGGAGGGAAGUCUCCAUAUGCUCGUGCAUCUCUUCCAGCCCUUCUUCACCUCCCCACACCUCUCCCCAAAGGCACCAGCUCUCAAGGAAAAGAAAUACUAUUCAGUGUCCAGGAGAGAGCAGAAAGGAAGCUGGCACCAUUCCCCGGGGAAGAGAACGGGACAGUUUUGGACAAGGUUCAAGGCAGGUCAUGCAAGUUUGUGAACUGCUUCCUCGGGGCUCCAUCGCCAGCUCUCAUCUGUGAGAGCCUGUCAGGUGUAGGAGCAGGUUUCUGUGCCACCUCUCACUUCUCUCUCCUUCAAAGCAGGAACAAGCUGCCCUGGAACAGACCGACCUUUGGCAUAAUUAUUUCCUUCUUUUUUUUUCCCCAAAUCAGGGGCACUCGAGUGAAAACCGAGGAAAGCUAAAGCGACCUUAGCUUUUUGUCAGCUUUCCUUGUGAUGGCAAGAGCUGUUGUUCUGCUCUUGGCAUUAAGCGAGAAAUCAAUGUUACUGUGGGAGCAAACUCCCAAACAGGUGGUGAUCACACACAUAUUAACCUGAACCAGCGCAGGAGGCACCACGUCCCCCCAUGGACCCGCCGAGGGGAGCGGAGAUCUCAUCCCCCUUUGUUUGUGCUCAGAGUGCGGCUGUCCGGAGGAUGGUGCCUGAAUAGAUAAGGCUCUGGGCACAGAUGUCUGGUUUGAUUAUUCUUUUCCUUUUUGCUACAAACCAUAUGGCAGUACGGGCAGCACAGAUAGCUGGCAAUCAAAAUUCCUGGGCUCCCUCCCUGACUUCGCCACUCGCUCAUGUAAUUUGCAAAGUGGUUUUCAUGCAUCAGCAAAACUUGCUGUCUUGAACCUCCCCACCUCCUUAAAACAAGAGCUCUCCCUCAUCACUGGAGGUGCUUUGGAAAAUAGUAACCACAUCUUGCUUUGCUAUCACAAAAUUAGAUGCACUUAAUGCUUGUAAACUACUUUGGCACCAACAGAUAAAAGGCACUACAGACAAGUUACUAAUCAGUUUGAUUAAGUAAAGUGCCAAAAGUUUGCCACUGCUGGUAGAGGUUUGCAGGCUGAUCCAUCUAUAACCUGGAGGAGUAAGAUGAAUUAGGUACGAUAAGGAUUGUUUAGUUUCUAGUCGGUCAACCAGUGAAUGAGACGACUCGGUGUUUAUAUGCCAGGUCACAGAGUAAAGUUUCUUGUGAUUGGAAAUGAUUAGGCACAUUGAUUAAUGUUUCCAGUGCUCUUUGAUCAAGAGCUGCCAGUUGGAAUGAGUCUUGCUGCACAGAGACAUCCCGACUGCCUCGUAGCAAAAGUGUAGGGGGUAGAAAAUUGAAUGAAAAAAUAAUUGGGUGGUGAUGGGAAGGCUCUGCCAUAAGAUACACUGUUUUUCUGUCAACAAGACUAGGGUUGCAUUCUUUGAACCAUCAUCUUAUUCCUGGAAGUCAAGGCAGUUUGUAACUUGCAUUGUGCUUGUCAGGUUUAUUCGUUUUAAAAAGAUGUUCAGGAGACUGCCAGGUCAUCUAAACAUUCAGUACUGAUAAGGGACCUCAGGGUCUGCUAAGUUAAGAAGCAAACAUCCCAGGUUUAAGAAAAGCUUUAGAAAGUAGCACUUUCUGAGUAGUUUGUAGCUCUUGUGGAACUGUUGAUAUUUCUCUCAGCAUGGAGGUGCCAUCUCCUGCAUGCCUCCUUGUGAUGGAUGUUCUUUCUUUCAGCCAUAGGAUUUCCCAUUUUUAACCCUCAUUUAGGAUAUCCUCUUUUUAUCAUAGGUGAGAUACUUGAAAUAGUUUCCUAAGACAAGACACAGGAAGAUUUGCUUGGAUAAGAGGAAGAAUCCCCACCACUGCUUAUCAUUCCCACAUCACCACACCAUUUGUCUUCGUGAUUUUGUGUCUUUGUCAUACUUUACGUGUUAUGGUUUAACCUUGAACCAGCUGGGAGGCCAUGAACACGAUGGCAUUGCCCACUACAUUUUCUUUAUAACCAGGACUGCAGCGUUUGUCAUCUUCACUGUCACACCUGUUAUCUACACUUAAUCUUUCUGGGGCGACAUCCACUUCUGUGCAAAUUUGUGUAUAUAUCAAGAUAGAAUUUCUAAUAAGAAUCAGAAUGCCCUGGUCAGGGUAACCAGUUAGCAGGUGGUGAAUGGGCUCUGCAAAAUUUAAGGUGAAGACACUAAAACGCCUAGAUGUACCAAGGAGCUGAAUUACAGAUGUCCACACCCAAGGACAUUUAGUUCCGAAAUCACUAUCUGCUCACUGUUUUUGGACAUCCCCCAGAUCCAUCGCAAUUUGUCUCAGAAUGCUUCUGCUGCAAACCCAGGUGGUUCAGCAGUUCCAGCUGGUUUCUGCUGAGGGAAGAGGCAGGAGAUGGAGCUGCCAGGCAACCCAAGGUCCUCCCUGCUGGUCCUGGCCACCUCUGUGCUCUCAGGGAGAGGUGCAGAGCACUGGGUGAGCGCGGGAUGUCCUGACCAUUCCACAUUUCUCUUUGCUUGUGUUUGUGCUGAAAACUCCUGCUUUUAUGAAACAUGGGAAAUGGAAGAGUUCAGGAGCUGAGGAACCAGUAGGUGAAAAAUGGUGCCCAGUGAAUGCCACUGAGAGUGUAGGUUGGUAUAAGGAGGAAACUGCAAAGCUAUCAUUACCAAACUUUGCUGUUUCUUUGGGUGUACCUGCUUUUCCCAUGUUUUACUGAGCGUGAGAGCUUGCAGACACCAGAACUGAGCAGAUCCUCUUUAACAUGGGAGGCCCAUGUCCCAUCUACUACUUGAGUCAGUCACCUGUCCGGACACCUGCCCACCACCAUUUCCUAUCUCCAGGCAGGAUCUGUGCCUUCCCUGCACUCACAGCCCUGGGACCACAGCUGGUCCCCCUCCAAAGCCACUCAUCUCUGGUAGUGCAUAAACUUUGGGGUUUCUCUCUUCUGCUGAGCUAUUUUCACACAGUGAAUCAAAAUCUCAUCAUCUUUCAGUUCUCUGACAUGUUUGACUCCUUUCAGCCAAUGUAUUCAGCAGAGGGAGGGUGGACAGACAGUGAUCUGGACUUGUUGUGUGAGAAACCAGUAUAAAUAUGUGCAUAAGUGUGUUUCCUGCUUUUGUGAAGUUGUGCUUCAUGCCUGUUUUGAAGUCUACAUUGUCUUCCUGUGCAUGGCCUGAAACAGUUAAUAUCAAUGUAAUUGCAGAUCAUUUUCACAAAAAUAGGUGCCUACUCUGCCUGUUUUCUAAUUUCCACAUGGCUCCACAGUGGCUGCUUGUCUGCUGCCUGCCCAACUACUAACGCUCCUGCUUUCCAUCCUGGCGUGUGUGGCUGCCCCGGCGCGUUGCUGGGACAGGGAGCAGUGACGUUGGGUCUUCUGGAAGCCUGCAGAUGGGGCCAAGCAAAACACAGCUGGGCAUCACCCCAAGUACCUCAAGACUGCUGCGCCAAACGGGUUCCCGUUGUCUCAGACAUCUCAUUGUAAUUAACAGCAACAGAGGUGUCUGCAUCACUCUCAUUUACGGCAAGCUGGGAGCUGAGGCCAGGAAAGGGAGGAGUUUGGGAUUAGACAUGUCUCCAGCUCCUCAGGGUAGGAAUCACUGCUUAUCUGAAACAAUUUUGGAGAGGUAUUUUAUCCAAAGCAAUUUUGGAGAAGUAUUUCAGGUGCGGCAUCCACGAUGGAGAUGAUUCACACCGGUGGAAGCCACCCAAAGGUGUGCCACAGCGCUUGGUGGCCCCAGCGCCUCCCCAGCCGCACGCCAUGGUGCUGUUCUAGAUCACUGCCAUCCCGCUGGCUGCUGCACUUGCCGGCUGUCUCCCACCAGAGCUGCCCCUCCUUUCCUUCUGGCAGGAAAGCGAUGGUGUGAGUGACAAACCCACCCUCCUUGUUGUGUCCAUCUCGCUGUGGAUCCUAGCAGGGCAACAGUGGAUGGGAUGGAGAGUUUAAAUAUGCCCAGCAAAAAUUACACUCAAUCAUUCACCUUGUUAUUGCUACCAUGGUUAACUCUUUGGUUGCUGGCCCUGGAGUAGCUUAUCUGCAAGGCUCUGUUCAUUUCUUGGGCUCAUAGCUCAAGCCAUCACAAGGGGCUUCUGGUAAGCUGAGACUUUUGGCUGCUGCCAGCUUUGCCUUUGCCAGUUACAGUCGCCUUUGUUUCCUUGCUUUCAUGGGAGUUUGCUGCUCCCACUGGGAGGCUGGACCAUGCAUGCCAGCUCAUGUCCAGGAGGUGGAAAGGCAGGGCUUGUGCUUUGGGCUGGCACAUGAUGUGGAGCAUGAAACAAGUCAGUAGUCAGGGGAAGCAUUGGGCAGCGAGAAGCAUGAGACUCUCUGCCCCUCCGGGCAGGGUUGGACUGGGCAGAAACCUGGCAAGGAGGAUGUCUGCCAGGUGUGCAGGUUAGGGUGCAACUCAGGCCAUUAAGAGUCUGGAUAUGUGGGGGCUGGAGCUGCUGUCUGAGCUAGUGAGAGAUCUUUAACUGUUUGUGUCUUGGACACUCACAGAAAACAAAUACUGUUAGAAUCAUAGAAUGAUUUCAGCUGGAAAAGACUCUCAGGAUCAUCAAGUCCAACCAUAACCUAACUUAACUCUAGCACUAAACCAUGUCCCUAAGAACCUUGUCUAAACACCCUUUAAACGCCUCCAGGGAUGGUGACUCCACCACUGCCCUGGGCAGCCUGUUCCAAUGCCUGACAACCCUUUCUGUGAAUAAUUUUUUCCUAAUAUCCAAUCUAAGCCUCCCCUGGUGCAACUUGAGGCCACUUCCUCUUGUCCUAUCACUUGCUAUUUGGGAGAAGAGACCAACACCCUCCAUGCUACAACCUCCUUUCAGGUAGUUGUAGACAGUGAUAAGGUGUCCCCUCAGCCUCUUUUUCUCAAGGCUAAAUAGCCCCAGCUCCCUCAACCACUCCUCAUAAGCUCCUCAUAAUCCUUACUGUUUUCUGCUGCAAAGUGGAAAAGCUCAGGGCAAUUUUUCCAUGAACAUAAAUAUACAGCAAAGUGUAUACUAAGAAGAAAUGGAAAGGACUCACAGAAGCACUGACAAGCCUAUUUGGAAAGGACCUAUUGAGACCAUCUGGUCCAACUUUCUUAUGAAAGCAGGACCUUAGAUUAGGUUAUUCAAGGCCCAGUCAAGCCAAGUCUUCAACAUUUCUAGUGAGGAAGAUUCCACUCUCUUCAGGCAAUUGAUCCUACUCUUCAGUUGCUCUCACACAAAGAUUUUUUUAAGAUGCAAGUGGAACUUCCCUUGAAGACACUUGUUCCUAUGGCUUUUUCUCCUGUUACAGUGCACCCUUGUGAAGGAUGUGUCUUCUCCACAACUGCCUUUUGGUUGUUGGAAGGCAGUGAUUUGUUUUCCCCACCCUAAGCCUUUCCUUCUCAAGGCUAAGCAAGCACAAAUCAUUCAGUUGUGAAGUUCUCUAGACCCUAAUCUUGCUGAUACUCUCUGGACCAUCUCCAGGCUUUUAGCAUCUCUCUCGAACUGUGGCGGGGAAAACUGGACAGUGUGUUCCAGGUGUGGCCUAACAGGUGCCGAGCAGAGUAGGAAAAUCACAUCCCUUCAUCUACCAGCAAUAGUCUUACUAAUUCAGCCGUGGAUGCUUCUGGCCUUCGUUGCUGCCAGGGUAUGUAGCUGGCUCGUGUUUGGUUUGUUGUCUGCCAAGACACCCUGUGCCUUUUCAGUAGAGCAACUGUCCAGCAGCCAGUGCCCAGCUGGUGUUACUGCUUGGGAUUAUUCCAUUCAGGUUCAGGACUUGACAUCUAUCUCUGCUGAAACUCUUGUUAAACCUCAUUCUUGUUGGCCAAAUCUCAACAGCCUGUUAAGAUCUUUCUAUAUGGUGUCUUUUUCUUUAAGCCCAUCUAACUCCUCUCCCAGCUUAGGCUCAUUCUUAACUUUGGUAAGGGUGCGUUCGGUCCUACCUUCCAGGUCAUUUGUAAAGCUGACUUGCAUUGACUCCAGAGGAACUUUAUUUAUGACCAGCUGCCAGCAUAACCUUGAGCCUUUAACCACCGCCCUCUGAGCUCAGCAGUUUAGUCAGUUUUUCAACCAUUUUAAGUUUCAUCUGUUCAGCCCAUAUCUUAAUGACUUGUCAAAAUGGAUUUUGAGGGAGUCUGUGUCAAACACCUUGCUAAAAUCAAGGUAGAUGAUAUCCUUAGAUUUCCCCUCAUCCACUGAGCAAGAUGUUUAGUCAAGCAUGAUUUACCGUUCAGUAUAUCCAUGUUGGCUUUUCACAGUCAGCUUCUUGUCAUUUGAGUGCCUGGAAAUACCUUUUGUAAGGACGCAUUCCACAGUGCUCCCAGGGACUGAAACAAGGUUGACUGGUCUGCAGUUUCCCGGAUGUUAUUUUUUUGACCUUUUUGUAGAUGAACACAAUAUUUGUUCACCAGUCUUCAGACUAGAAGACCUCUCUCCACAGAAAGCUGUUUAGUCCUUGUGUUUCAGCUUCCCUGUAUGGGGGAAUAAUUUGGUUGAUAUCAGACAAAUUGCUUAAAGGACUGUGAAUGACAACAUGAAAAGGAUGAAAGGUCCUUGUGUGUAUUGUUACCUGUCCAAAUUAGUUAAAACAGGACGAAUUCUGGGCUGUACAUGACAGUGGUCCAUGUUAACAUCUAGUCAUGACCUAAAUUCCGGAGAUGCUCUUGUUCAUGGUGGAAUAAUCCUGUCUGUAGAUCUAGGUGAAGUAAAGUCCGGUUCUGUAUAGCGUAAGCAAUUAUUCUUGCAAGUUUUAUUUAGCAGGGACCAGUCUUUGGUCUAGCGUGCAUUCAGCAGUCAAGAUUUUGGCCUCUUUGCUCAUACCUGGAAGCCAGGUCUCUCCAAGAAGGAGGGAAUUUGGUUUCAUGGGACUAUUGUGACAUUGAAUGCUGAUGUCUGGAACCAUGAUGGGGGUCAUAAGCUGGAGAUGGCAGCUCCUCAGAGGUAGCUAGAGUUCUUUUAGAGGUCAAUUACCAACUGAAUUAUUAGCUGUUUGCACAGCCCAGUGUUGUAAGUAUGGGGCCUAGUUUUGGAGUGAUGUUGAUAUCAAUCAUUACAGGUAUCAAUAUGUGUUUAGUCAAUGCCGUUACUCGGCACAAUUACACCGGCUGUACAGGAGCAUUCACUCUCAGACCUGUAUGUUCCUUUCAUGUUGCAGAACAAGCUAUGCAUCUUUAGCCCAGACUUUCCAGAUUUGAAAUACCAGGAGUUAUCCAAUGUUAAUGUAGCAGAUGCAUUGGAAACUGCUGGUUUUACAUUUUGAUAAUGACCACAUUGACUAAGAAAUAGCCUGUGCUCUCCACUGCCAAAGGAUGGGUUUUUCUGCUCCAGCUGACCAAGUGACCAUGUCCUUCAUAUAUCAGCUGUUGGUGGCUCAUAAUCUGGCUUCCAAGAACAAGAGGAGAAUAGCAAGGGAGUGAGAAUAGCUGGAUGGCAAAUUGUAGAAAGGCCAAGAAUGUUCACCCAAAGCCUCUGAACAGUACUGCCUUCCUAGCAGUGAUUUACCAAUGCACAACUGCACGUGAGUGCACUUCUUCCACACCUGUGGAUUCAAAUUUUAAGGUGUAAUUGUAAUUACAAUUGUAAUUGUAAGGCAAUUGACAUGACAUUGCUUAACACUGUUAUUAAUAUUCACAGAGCAAGUAGCUAUGUGCUGUGUCAGGUUUCUUAAAUCUUUGCUAAUGAACCAUAUCCUCAAGCCAUCCCUCUAGCAGAGUGGAAACCUGGCAUCCACCCAGGCUCUGUUAGUACAAACCCCAAGUUAUUUCAAGAUGGCAAGAUGGAAAGUGUGCUUUUUUUCCUCCCUUUUUUCUGAUCUUUUUGUUGUUGGUGGUGGUGGUGGUUUUGUUUUUUCCAACAGAAUUACCUAUUUCUGGUCUGGCUGGAAAGGGUCAAUAGAAAACAAGAUACCACUGAAACAUGUUAUUGCUGCACCAGUGGUCAGUAUUACAUGUCUAUACUUUAAUAGUCAGCUGAGUUUAAAUAAAUAUGCAGAACUCCUGUUUUUUUGUCGAGUAAAAAGUGACAACUGUUUGCACUGGUGUUUCCAUCGUGCUGUGGGCUGCCUGCUGGGCUUGCAGAGGUGGAACUGUUCGGGGUGUCUUUUGCUUGAAACACUUUAUCGAGGCUCCCCAUGAGCCCUCCCUCCGUCUGGCUGCUUACAGGUUUUCAAUGAAAGGCCCUGUUCACACAUGUGGCAACUCGAAUUAUCUCUAAAUAAACUAGUAUAUGUGGAGAGUAAUUCAUGAGCACUUCCAGCACGAUGAUAAAUGGCAGGCAGGGCUGGCGGGUACAAGGUGGCCCCUCAGGGAUGUGUCUCCAUCGAGUUGUGCAAAGAUACUGUAGAAGGGUCUAGAAACGUGACCUUAAAAGAAGAGCUGUGUGUUUUAGACCUUUAUAGAGCAGGCUGUAAGUGACAGACACAAAGUUUUUUGAUCUGUCACCUCUUGUCUAAUAUUGUGUGUCCAGAACUUGACAGAUAUUUCGAUUUUUAACCCCAGUUGCUCCCUGUGUGACUAUCAAUCUGUUUUCUGAAAGACAACAGUCAUCUUAGCCCUUAAAAGACACCUUAACCAGUCAGUUCUGAUAAAUAACAGCAAAUUCUAAGAACUUAUGUACUGUUCUGCUAUUCUCCAGCACUUGCUGACAUGAUUCUUGAACUGCAGUUGAGCUUUGGCUUAACAGAAGCCAUUCUUCUGCAGUGACCAAGAGAGAGCAGAAGAACCCACAAAUACAAGAACCUUAGGAGAUUGUGACCAGGUUUAUCCCAACAGGUUAAACAGGGUCAGGGCACAGCCGUGAGCACUGGUGUGUACCUGUCUAUAUUGUAAGCUGUUAGCACGGCUCCAGCCCACGCAGCUUCCCCAGACAAUGCCCGGGUACUGUCUGGGGACUCGCACUGGCCAGGGGCCAUCUCCAGCAGUAAUUUGGCUGCAGGCACCUUGUUCUGAGGAGGUAAAAGGGCUUAGCUGUCUGCACACAAGCUGCUGGGCAAUUGGCUUCAGUGCCAAGGAACAGUGCCUGUCUUGUCUUAUUUACAUGUAUGGACAAGACGAAGGUUUUGGGAUACAGGAGCCUCAGUGGUGAGAUGCAACAUAUGUGAAUUUUGCAAUUCUGGAUGCAACUUUGAAAUCCGUAUUUCUGUUGAGCUUUCAGGCACUGCUUUCAGAUACUAUCUCUCUUGAAAACUCUGCACUUGCUGAGUAUCUAUUAUUGCUCCCAUAUGGCAAGGAAAGGACUGAACCCUUCAUCUUUAGAUAGCAGACAUAAAAUAAUGUGAAAGAAAUGUGAAAUGACUGGGAGGGAGUUUUUUCCUGGUCUACAGAGAAACUAUAGGAGAUUCAUAGACUGCUGCUGACACGAUUAAAAAGCACACUGUAUCUCCCUGUUUGUGAGGAAAGGGAGAAGAAACAGAAGAAAAUACAGCUCAAAAACAUGGGACUAUAAAACAAAUGCUAGAAAAUCUGUACAGGGUCUUGUCACAUAAUAAUGUCCAGGCUUUGUCUUCAGACAUCUGUACUAGAGUCUACUUUUUUAUUAGGCAUAAAUUCAUAGUAACAGGCAGCCAUUGUAGUCAAACUGGUCAUAACUGUAGUUCCUGUUGAAAAAAUGAGUCUUUUUCUGCCCUUAAAAUCCCAGGUGAAAUUGAUAAAAAUAAAUAAGUAGUUUUGCCUGUAAGGAAUUAUGUUCCUGGGCAAAAACCUAUUCUGUGAUCUGAAUCAAUGCUGCAAAGCUCACCCUGUAUAAACCAUUAGUCCUGAAAUCCAGCACAGCUGAAUUAUAGAUGAAAUGUAUUUUGGUCCAUUACGUCAAUGUGUUGCUUGUACUGAGGAACCCAAAACUGGAUGCAAUGCUCCCGAUGCAGUCUCACGAGUGUCAGAUAAAUGGGAAUUAUUACUUCUUUCAACUUACACGGUUCUCUUGUCACAGAAAAUAUCCUGGUUAGUCAAGCAAGAGAUCAACAGCAUUCUGUUUGUCUACACUGAUCUGUUAGAGGUUACUUCAGAGGAGCUGGCAUGUCUCUGGCUAAUGCACUAAGGCUAGAAGUGUGUCUGACUUGAAAAGCAGAAGGUGGGCCCUUGUCCUGUUCGUACACGUUGGUGUAUCUGCAUGACCUGUUAAAUGGAGUCCCAUGAGCAUAGGUCAUAUGGUCAAGACCAAGCUUGUGACAAGAUCUAAAGACAGCAGGGAUUUCUUUGGUGUCUCAGAAGGCAUAGGGUGUGGGAUGGUUCUUUCUCAGUCCUGAAUGUUCUUCGUACAUGAUUCUGUACCCAUCCAGUCUUUUGUAUCUUCUGCUUUUUAACAAAACUGACCUUGAAGGAACGGACAUGAUACUUGACUUGGGCAUCUUGCUGUAGCUGAACUGCUCUAGCUAGUGGAGCUGCACAAGGAUUUACAACAUGUUUAUGCUAAACUGAAGAACCAUGUGGAUAAAUUAGUAGCCCUAAAGUGCUGAA